GGCUACUUGUUAUCCGUCAUUUAUGGAGCAAUUAGCUCCUGCUUGUGCAUCAACUGUUGAAUCAAGAGUACAGCAGGAUGGUAAAGUUGUUACGAGUCGUGGACCUGGCACUACUAUGGAGUUUGCUGUUGCACUUGUUGAGCAGUUGUAUGGGAAAGAGAGAGCUGAUGAAGUUUCUGGGCCACUGGUAGUAACUUUUAUAGAUAAUGUUGCUUAAAAAAAUUGUGAGUCAUAUAAUUUGUGGAAAUUCAUUCUAAUAGGUAUGUCAACUUGGAAGGUUCAGAUGCUAAUGUAUUCCAAAAAAUUAGUUCAGGGGAAAAGUAUGACUUUUUGCAUUAGAGAUUCAUUAGAUGAAGUUGUAUACCUGCUGGCCCAUCUUAAUGUGGUGAAAACGAUGACUGCUAAGACUGAUAUAAUUAUCGGAAUCUUGAUAAAUGCAUUUGUUGAGCUUCAAUGUCUCCACUGAUCACAUUCUUUUUAAUGUAAGUUCUUUCUCUUGGUAUUUGUCUUUGAAUUUUCUCUUCCUCAUGCUUUCGUCUUCACUGUCACCUUGUGCCUAGGUAAUGCGUGCAAAUCAUGGAGAUGAAUACACUAUUGCUGAAUUCAAUCCAAUUCAGUGGACAUUUGACAAUUCUCCCCAGGUGAGAUUGGACUUCUAGUUUCUUGUAUUUGUUUUCCUUCAUCUGAUGUUUUCAGGGAUACCCAUUUGGCAGUAUAUAAAAAUCUGUGAUAUCUUCUAUACAUAUACAUAUACAUCAUUGGCUUCAGUCAUUUGUGAACAUAUUGGAGGUAGUAGAUGUAUUUUUAUGGUAUCUCUAAUAAAAUCCCAAGUUUGAUCAAUUACAAAAGAAGUAUGAGCGGUGCUGGACCGGGUUGGGGGGAAGUGGGGGGUCAGUGUGGUGGGCGUGUGCGGUGCAUGAAUAAAGGAAAUGAUAGGGGGUAAAAGUUUGUGCUACCGACAUGCUGUCAAAUGGGGAUACAAUAUUUCAAAUUAGAGAUUGUGAGAUCCUUAAUAUUGCUGACUUGUGCUUAAAAUGGAAUUCUUGAUAACUUCAAAUGUUAAAUUUCUUGGUGAAAUUUUGUACUUUCUUUUCUUUCAGAUUCUUGUGCCUAUUGCAAAUGGUUCGGAGGAGAUGGAAGCUGUUAUGAUAAUUGAUAUUCUGCGACGAGCUAAAGCAAAUGUUGUAGUUGCAUCAGUUGAGGAUAAACUAGAAAUUCUGGCUUCUCGUCAAAUUAAAUUAGUGGCAGAUGUGCUCAUUGAUGAGGCAGCUAAACUGUCGUAUGAUUUAAUUGUCUUGCCAGUGAGUUGGGGUGCAUACACUUGCUUCAUAGUCUUUACCACAUUAUUGACUUACUAACUACAAUUUAUCCAUGCACAUUGCACAGGGUGGACUUGGUGGCGCUCAAGCAUUUGCGAAGUCAGAUAAAUUGGUGAAUAUGCUAAAGAAGCAAAAGGAAUCAAAUAGACCUUAUGGUGCUAUAUGUGCAUCCCCAGCUUUAGUGUUGGAGCCCCAUGGCUUACUCAAGGUACGACCGUUUCUGCUUAAAUUAUUUACUCAGAUUUGGAUCACCCAAUCUGAACUUGAUGAAGGAUUAUGAUGUUGUGUGAUUUUAUGAAUGUGGUCGUAUCUCAUGUAAGUCAGUGAUGAAUUAAUUGGAGUUUGCUGACAAAUUAGAAACUGAAAAACUGCUGCUGCUUCAUUAGUUACAUUACCCAAAGAGUUAAAAUAAACAUCCCAAAUUUUGUCCCAAAUUCUGUCCCAAAUGAUAUGGCAUUUAUUGAGUGAUUGUAUUAUCUAACCAACCAAUUGAUGAAUGUCACAUAAUUUGAGAUGGUUUUUUGGGAUAAAGAAUUUGGGAUUUUUACCCGCAAAAAUCCCAAGUACUUCCUGCUCCUGCAAUAUCAUUGCUGUGUAUUUGCUUUCCCCUUAGACAUAUUCAAUUGUGGUUCAGGGUAAAAAAGCUACAGCUUUUCCUGCUAUGUGCAACAAGCUGUCAGAUCAGAGUGAAAUCGAAAACAGGGUUGUGGUUGAUGGCAACCUCAUCACCAGUAGAGGGCCAGGAACUUCUAUGGAGUUUGCACUGGCAAUUGUGGAGAAGUUUUUGGGCCGCAACAAGGCACUUGAGCUUGCAAAGAUAAUGCUUUUCACUCGCGCCUAACGUUUGUAUGGGGACCUGUCUACUAUUAAACUAGUGUGUUUAUUUCUGUAUUGCUACUGCUUGUAGAGAGGGGAAAUGGAAACUUGAAUUCAUGUUUGAAUAUGGAUUCACUGUGUGGGUUUGUACAGCAGUUUGGUUUAUAAAUAAAUGAGUUCAUGGAGUCACUUCAAAUAUUCGGAAUAAACCUGAGUUUAGAUCUGUUAUCAAUGGUCGGAGUCCAAUUGCGAUCGACUCACUGGGAAUUUUAAUUAUGAAUCAUGUUAUAUUCCACCUUUCUCAUAAAAUGUUAACUCGAUUUACAGGAUAAGAAGGAAAAGAAAGACGCUAAGAGAGGAGCAGACACCCAAAAAGAGUUGACCACUUUGUUGGAACAUAAAUCUCUAGAAUAUUGAAAUAAAACACAUACCAUAUCUAGUAUCAAGUAUGUAUGUGCAAGAAGAUACAAAUUUGAAGAUCAGAUUUCUCAUUUCAAUUUAUGUUCUGCUUAGAGCAAUGGCUCUUAUUCCACAAGCACAAGCAGGAAAGAGUACGCACGAAGUUAAGAAACACACAUUGCAAAAGUUGCAUUAACUACUUGCGGCAACAUCAUCCAAGAACUUGACUUUAAUCUUCUUGAGCUUCGCUGCAGCAUCUGUCAUAUGCAUUCUCUUGUCAGGUGACUCCAUACAACAAUCCAAUGCCAAAUCCAUGAUGCUUAAUAAACAAUCCAUUUUGGCAGAAAAAGCUUGCUCUUCUCGCACCAAAUUUGCGUCAACAACUUCACUCAAUCUGUGAGGUAAUGACUCCUUCACCCAUCUCCUUAAACUCAUUUCUUCUGUGAACAUUUGAUCGGUGGGCCUCUUUCUCGUGAAAGUUUCCAUCAAUAACACACCAUAGCUGUAGACAUCACAUUUGGCUGAAACAAUUCCUUCUAAUCCAUACUCUGCAUUUUUUAAUUUUAAUUAUGAAACAAAUGAUAAAACAAAUAAUUUUUUUGAUAAUUAAGGUAACCCAAACUUUGCUCGUGCUUGAAAAAAGAGCAAAAAUUUUAAUUACAAUUGAAACUUUACCUGGUGCCAUAUAACCAAUUGUAGCCAUUGUCAUGGUUUGUGUCACACAAUCUUCUCCUUCACCUAAGAGUUUGGAAAUGCCGAAGUCGCACACAUGUGCCAUCAUAUUUUCAUCCAAGAGAAUGUUGGUGGGCUUCAAAUCACAAUGAAUUAUAGGUGCCGACGAAUGACCAUGAUGGAGAUAUUCAAGAGCCGACCCCACAUCUAUCAUUAUAUUCAACCUCUCUAGAAUGUCUAAGAAAUAAUUGUAAGAAUACAACCACUUCUCGAGACUACCAUUUGGCAUGAACUCAAGUACCAAUGCUUUGAAAUCUGGAUUAGAACAACUGCUAAGGAUCUUUAUGAGAUUUCGAUGACGAACAUUCCGUAAAACUUCACAUUCAGAAUCAAAACUCCUAAAUGCUCUCUCUAGUUGCAGAUUGAAAAUCUUUAUUGCAACAUUAGUCCCGUCGGAAAUGGUUCCUUUAUAAACUGAUCCAAAACUACCUGUACCCAGCAAGUUACAUUCAUUAAAUUCAUCAGUUGCUCGUUGAAUGUCAAGGUAGGAUGUUCUUCUCCAUGUUGCAAGAGGUAGGAAAUCUUCGUGAUCUGAUUUUUUUGUACUCCUCUUUCGGCAUCUUAUGUACAUAAUGAUGAUAAUCACUAUAAGUACAGAGGAUACUAUCGGAGGCAAAAUAUAUUUAAGGACAAUUAGAGCAACGUUCUUGGUGCUUUUGCUGUCACCUUGUUUGCAAGGUGGGACUCGGAGUUUAGGUGGACCACAGAGUGCAUAAUUUCCGAAAAAUGAUUCAGUUGACAAGUUUUUAAAAGACCCCUUAACAGGAAUUUCCCCUUCUAGCCUAUUAUGAGACACAUUAAAUUGUUUGAGAUGUGACAAUAUCUCCAAUGACUUAGGAAUUUUUCCAGAGAGAUUGUUGCCGGAGAGAUCUAAGGAUUCUAAGCUUAUCAAACUGCCAACUGAUUCAGGAAUAGGUCCCUGAAAUUGAUUACGAGCCAAGGAUAGAGUUUCUAGAUCUAUGAGGGCACCAAUGGUUGAUGGAAUAUCACCUAAUAAUUGAUUCCUUGAUAAAUCUAAAACUGUCAAGACCUUUAACUUUUGUACAUUGGAAGGGAGAGGACCAUUUAAUGAAUUAGACGACAAGUUUAUCUCUAAGAUGUACUCAAGGCUCCACAAGGAUGACGGUAUACUAGAAGUGAGCUUGUUGGAGCCUAAGCGGAGUUCUCUUAGAGAUGUCAAACUCGCCAAGCAUGGCGGUAUAUGUCCAGAGAGCUUAUUUCCAUUUAACCUUAUUCCGUAUAUCAACUCCAAGUGGCAAAGAUCAUAGGGAAUGGAUCCUUCCAAAUUAUUUUCUUCAAGAGAUAAACCUUGUAGCCGCUUAAGUCUUCCCAUCGUUGGUGAAAUAGUUCCAUUCAAGUCAUUGAAGCCGAGGCUUAAGAGGAUCAGGCCACGCAACUUACCAAUUUCUUUAGGAAUGCUGCCCCCGAGUUUGCAGUUGGAUGCAUAAAAUUGUCGAAGAGAAGCAGAGAAAUUUCCAAUCACUGGUGGAAGGAUGCCACCCAAUGGAUUAUAAGCUAAGGCUAAAAAUGUUAAAUUUCUGCAAUUAGUCAGAGAAGAGAGAAAACUCCACUGAUCUGCUGAAGAUGAUUCUGUCGUCAAGUUAUUAAAUGCUAAGCUGAGCACGUCGAGGUGUCUCAAGUUGCCAAAUGUAUUUGGAAUAUGGCCCGAGAAUGAGUUGAAGCCCAAGUCUAGGGCAACGAGUUUAGUAGCAUUGGUGAUAGAGUGGGGAAUUAUCCCUAUAAGAUUAUUGGCCGACAAGGCUAAAUACUCUAUGUUCGGAAGCGAGUGGCCAAUCGUUGACGGUAAGCGGCCUGAGAGUUGAUUGCCCCCCAGAGUAAGGAUUCUCAUGGUUGAAAUGUUGAAGAUCGUGGGUGGAAUGAGGCCACUUAAAUUGUUGUCAGCAAAAACAAGAACCUCCAAAUUUUCCAGAUUGCCAAUCUCGGUUGGAAUUUGACCUGCCAUCAGGCCAACAUUGAGGAGUCAUUGAGCUUUUAGCUUAAGGUAAAUUGAGUUUGACAAUGUUACCCUUGAAAAUGUAAAAGGAUCAAAUUAAUUUUAUUACACAAUAAUUUCAGCCAAUAAUGUUCUUUACACAAUAAUUCUGCAAAAUAUGCAUGCAAAUGGAAAAAUAUGCUUCAAUUACAAGAGGUGGUGGAGCGUACCUCGAAGAUUGCUGAAGCUAAGAUCCAGAUACACGAGUUUACUCAAAUUUCCAAUCCUUGAAGGAAUAUUUCCACCAAUAGUAUUGAACUCUGCACGCAGCGUCUCUAGCCUUGAUAAGUUGAAGAGAGAAUUAGGGAUGGGACCUGUGAAACUGUUAUUAUAAAGUCUCAAUAUUCGGAGUUUAGAUAAGACACCAAUCCAUGAUGGAAAGCUUCCGCUCAAUUUAUUGUAAGCGAAACUCACGACUCUGAGUCGACGUAAUUGCCCCAAUUCUUUCGGCAGAUGGCCAUGAAAAUUGUUCUCACUAAUGUCAAGAGACACUAGAAAUGAGAGAUUUCCCAAGUGUAGUGGAAUGGUGCCUCCGAGACCCAUAUCUGAAAGAUUCAAGGCAGUGACUCGUUGAUGGCGUGAACCACAAGAGAUACCAACCCAGCUACAUAUUGGAUAAGAUAUAGACCAAUUAUUUGCCAGGGCACUCCGAUAAUCAAGAAUGUGGGCUUUGAAUGCCAGAAGAGCUGAUUGAUCUGUUGUUAAAUCGUUUAAAGUCGUCACAGCUAAGCUAGCAAUGAGAUACUGUAACACUAACACCGACAUAGGAACAAAGAAGAAUGAUAAGCGCAUAUUGGUCGUUUUUAGUAGUAGUUGCAAGGCGAGAUUGAUACAAGUUUUAAGUAAAGGAAAUUAGCAUAUACUUAUAAUGAGACAUAUGAAUUUGAAAAUAAGAGCAGAAAAAAUAUACAGGAGACUUGCAAAUUGUUAUAUUCUGUCAUUGAGCGAGCCGUCCAAGUAAACGCAUUUACACUUGAACCCUAAAUAAAGGCCUUAUGGCACUUUAAUUGCCAUAAGGAAGAAGAUGCUCAACAUUGCCAAAAGUGUUUUUCUUGAAGUCUCGUCUUCCGUAAUGUUUGUAAAAUCGAGGUUUUACCAUCUCUAAUUAAAUAUUUACUCUUGAUUUAGACCACGUAAUCUAAACUUGACGAAAAAUUAUGAUCUUAUGUGAUUUUAUGAAUGUGGUCUUAUCUCUUAUAAGUCGGCAAUGAAUUAAUUAAAGCUUGCUGACAAAUUACAAGCUCAAAAAUAUCUUUUACUUAUUCACAAUCUUAUUUCAUUUUUUUAUAACAUAAUAUUAAAAAUUUGUCUAUUAAAUUAAUUUAAUAAUUUUUUUAAUAAAAAAUCUCAUUGACGACCAAACAACUAAUUUUUUUUUUAUAAAAGCUUUGCUUGUUAAAAUUAUGCUGAAAAAAACUCUACUUAAGUAAGUUCUAUUUUUUUUAUAAAAGCCAUUUUAUUUCUUUAUCUUUUUUAAUUAUUAUUGGAAAAGUAGCGCAGCUUAUCAAAAAAGGAAAGAAAAAAAAAAGUCAAAGUGACGAGUGGCUUGUUUUUUAAUUUCAAAGUCAAUGCAAAGUAAAAGUACCGAAAUAAUCAGUUUUUAAAUCCAAAUAAGUGGCAAUAAAGGGAGGUCUUGUUAGGGGUGUUCGCGGAUCGAAUUUUAUGGAUUGGACAUCAAUCCAUAUUCGAUCCACGAUUUUACGGAUUAUAAAAUUUCAAUCCAAUUCAAUCCACGGAUUUGUAAAAUUCAAUCCAAAUCCAAUCCAUAAAUCUGCGGAUCAGAUGCAAAUUUGACCUAAUCCAUAUCCAAUCUACAAUUUUGCGGAUUGGUUUGUGGACUGAAAAUUUUUAAUUCUGUCAAAUCCACGAACUAACUAAAUAAAAAAAUUUAAUAUAAAAAUAAUUUUACUACGGAUCAAAUUUAAAAUUAAAUAAGAUUUAAAUAAAUAAAUUGCUUAAAUAAAGCUAGCAAAUACAUUUAAAGUUUCAAAAUAUAACACACCAAAAUGAAAAAAAUAUCAUUCGUUUUAGAUCAAGGAAAUUAACUAUUUAGUAAACUAUAUUUGUUUAUUUAAUUAUUUUUUAUUUUUUAUUAUUAUCGGAUAUGAUAUAAUAUAAUGUUAAUGUAACUAUAUUUUAACUUAUUUAUUUACUAGUAAGUACUAAUAACAUAUUUACAAGUUUUAUUUUUAAUUAAAUAAAUACUUUUUAUUUUUUUGCGGAUUCGCGGAUUUUUACCGAUUUACAGAAGUAGAUCCAUAUCCAAUCCACUGAUUGCGGAUUAUCAAAUUUUCAAUUCAAUCCAAUCCACCAAUCCACGGAUCAGACGGAUUGAGCAGAUCGAAUUAGAUUAUGAACACCCUUAGGUUUUGGUGUGCAUUGUUGAAAACUUGGAAGUCUAUAUGACCAUUUAACCAAACUAUAGGGGUAUAACUGUCACAAAUUUUUAAAAAUAAAUUUUACCAAACAUUUAAAUGAUUUUUUUUUCACAAUUGAUUAUUAAAUUCUAAGUGUUAGACUAUUGUAAGAAUACAAAUAAUUGACAUGGACAUAAUAUUAAAUAAAAUUUACUUAUAUAUAUAUAUAUAUAUAUAUAUAUAUAUAUAUAUAUAUAUUAUUGUUUGUAUAUAAAAAUUGCUAACUAAAAAAUAUUUAUAUUUUAUCAAUUUUAUUUCUUUUAUUUUUUUAUCUCAAGAUAAAUAUAAUAAUAACAAUCUCUCUAAAUUUAAUUAUUUUUGCUCUUUAUUGAAUAAGGAUAAUUUUGAGUUUCUGUAAUAUAUGUGAGGAUAUAUAUAAAAUUGUAUUAAAUAUAUAACUAUUCUCAAAAUUAAAUUUUAAAAAACUAGUUCAUUCUCACUUUUCAUUUAAUUAGGCAAAUGGCCACAGAAAUUGUUCUCCCUCAUAUCCAAAUAAACUGAAAACGAGAGAUUUCGUAAGUGUGGAGGGAUGAUGCCUUCGAAACCCAUCACUGAAAGAUUCAAGUUUGUGACUCUAUGGUAUGAGCACCACAACAUAUGCCAAUUCGACUGCAUAUUGAGUAAGACAUGGACCAAUUAUUCAAGAGAUUCAUGAGCCUUCGAAGUGAGAAAUAAAGCAAAUUAUGUGGUGGUCGUGGGUCAAUUGACUACGUUUCGUGAUCUACGUGCGAUUGCAACAGUCGGUUCAUUAAGUGAAAUUAAUGACUCGUCCACUAUAGUAAGAUACUGUCCUCAUUAGGUUGGUGCUGGGUCAAUUUUAUCCAUGAGUCAACUUACAUUAAUUUGAAUUAAUUUAUAAGAGUAUCUCAUUUUCGUUGAUUACGAGUUGUGAUCGAUGACAUGCACGAAAGCAGUCAAUUUACAGGUCAUUCACUAUAUAUAUGGGGUCUAUGGGUGGAUGGAUCUAACGUAAAUUAAGGGUUGAUGAUGACCCUCGACUUCUAACGACGACCAUCGAAGACGACCUUGACUUUACAUGCAAACACACAAUUCGCUCUCAUACAUUAUGUUUUAAAAUUUCUCCAUUUUCCGGGGCCCCGCUGUCGACCGUACACAGUUUAAUUUGUAUAUACAAGACCUCAUUGUUUCUAGCAAGCAUAGAGCCAUAGACCAUAUUAAUUCCAAUUACAUAAAUCUUCAUUUUUAUCAUGAUUUUGGAUCUCGAGCAGUGUGGAUAUAUCCAACCAGAUCCGCCUCACUGGCAUCCCAAUAUAUUUUAGAAUUGAGUAAUGAGUAUCAAUAAAUGUGUAAUUGUAAAUCUACAACGUUUAAUUUUAAUUUGAGGACUCAAAUGAAUUUAUCCAACAAUACCUCGUUAAAUUAAUAUUCCAUAAAUUUUUAACUUUAAUUAAAUAACAAAUUUUGUCCGUCCCAACUUAGGAUUAACGUGGUAAUUAAUAAUUUGAUAAAUUGUUAGAUAAUAAUUUUUUAAAAAAAUCUUAUUUUUUUAUUGGAUCAAACUGAUAUAUAAAUGAAUAAUUAAUUAAUUUUAAAACUAAAUUCAUGUUAUGUCAAUCAAAUGUUAUUGCAAAGAAGACUAGCAGCGACGCUUUGAAAGGUACACCAAAGCCUUUUGCACCUUCUCCUCCGUGACCACCAAUAGAUACUUCCACCAUUUCAACGUCAUGACAUGAUGUAAGUUUCUUUUGUAGAAUUUGCGAAUUGGUAAUCUUUUACACGCGUAUAUUUAUAUCAUUGUAUAGUUAUAGAUUCAAUUACUUUUAUGAUGCAUUUAUUAAUUUGGAAUUGAAGUAGACAAGAAUGGGCUGUAAUGUGAAUGGAGAAUCGAAAUUAGAAUAAGUUAUUUACUUGAACUGUAGAAAUCGAAAUGAGUUGGAUUGUCAUUAAUGUGUUUACUUUGUCUUGGAAUCAGAAUUGAAAUAAGUUAGUUUAUAACAAAUUACUAAAAACUACUUAAUGAACUAUUGUUAUAAUUAUUAUUUUGUAUUUUAAUUAUUAUGAUUAUUUAUUAAAAAUUAUUAUUGUUAUUAUUACUUAUUGUUAAUAGUAUAUUAAUAUAUUAAUAAAUUAUAAUAAUAUAUUAAAUAACUAUAAUAUAUUAAAAAAUAUACUUGUAUUUACAAGAAAUGACUGAUAAAAUUUCUAAAAUCGUCUUCCUCCCUAAAACUCUUAAUGCCACAGCCCUAAAAAUUAAAAAGAUUUGGGAAUUAUAUGUCUUUUUUAAAAUAUUAAAGGGUGUUUAUUUCCUUAAACGGUGGGGACUAAAAGUCCUAUUCCCAAACGAGUAGUGUGCCGGCGUUGGAGGCUAGAAAGACAAUUUGUUACAUUGCUUCAGAAGUGCUUAAUGGAAAUUUUGGUGAGGCAUCACAUAAUUUAAAGGAUCAGGCUACGGUGCAACUGUGGUACCGUACUACAGUUGCAUCCAGCCGUUUUAAUUCACUUAUAUUGGUGAGGUUCACUGGCAUCCAACGGCUGAAUGCAACUAUGGCACGGUACCACAGUUGCACCACAAGUUUCCCCUAAUUUAAAUUACUGGAAUUUGCAUCAAUGGUUUUUAUUGGUUUAUUUACUCGUCAACAAAUUACUGUAACUGCAGAAAACAGUGUAACACAUUGUAUAAUACGUUAAUACGUUAUAUUGGUCAGUGCUCCUACCAAGGAAAUCUUUUUAAGUUUUGUUAGCAGAAUAUUCUUGUAAGGGUGGAGGCAUAAGAGAUUAAUAAUUUAAUAUCUCUUGUUCAUUAGAAGAUUUUUUUUUUUUGGGAAAAAAAAAGAAGAAGAUGGUUUGUUUAAUGUUGAUAAAUUUUGAAGUACAAUUUUAUAGAUGUCGAAUGUGGGCAAAAAGUAAAGAAGCUCAAACACUUUUCUACAUCUAAACUAAUCAUUAGGAUUUAUAUUAACUAAUAAACCCUAAUAAUACGAGCGUUCAUAAAAACUUCAUAUGAACAUUGAACCAGCAUGGCAUCAUAUUGUAAUAAGUUGUACAGCUGUCAAUCUCUUAUUAGUCAGAUAUAUUCUGAGUUAGUUACAUGAAUGUAGUAUAAAUAUCAUACUCUGUACACAUUCUUAGUUAGUUACUUCAGUAGAAUUUUCUCUCCUCUACUCAAUUUUUAAGUUAUCUUUUAUAUUGGGGGCAAAUGAUAUUUUAUUAACGAAAUGAUUUUGCCCUCUUAAUAAGCUCUCAUUUCUCCGCUUUGAUCAACACAGCCUUCUUUUAUUACAUCAAAAUUCUUCCUCUUUCCAUCAAAAUUUCAUGGAUCUGCCCUUACGUAAAAUCAUAUGAGAGUAUAUAAUAAAAUUAAUUAGGUAUGUUUGGAACAUUUUUGGUAUCCUUAAGCUGAUUUUAUUUUUAUUUUUUUAUAGUAUAUAUUGUCAAAAGUAAAUGCUAUAAACACUUUCGGAAAAAAAGAUGAAGAGCACCUUUGGAGUAAUUUUUUCUAUAGGAACUAACAAAACAACUAAAUGAUGUAUGUAUCUCUAAGAUUUAUUAUUAUUAAUUUUUUUUUCUGUAGUUGACAAAGCAUCAUGAUUGUGUUGGAUGAUAAGAUUAAAGGUGGGAAUGGUCCGAAUGGACCAAUUUUUUAGGAUAAAAAAAAAAAUGAUUCAAUCCUGGGCAUGUUUGGCUAUCGAAACUAGUUGAUUAGUCUAAAGUUUAAUUCAAAAGUAAUGGGACUAUUAAUCCUUAGGAAAAUUAUCAUUUGUAUACUCUAUAGAUGCUCUGUUAUAUAAAAAAUUACAACACUUUGAGAGUGUAUCAAUCGUCCACCCUAAGUUGACAAAAUAUAUCUGCCGUCCAUCAAACCGUUACUUGCUGUUUAAAUAGGAUAGCGCCAGAGGGGUAAUUUGGUCUUUUCAUAUGAUACAAGUGAUAAUUCAAGGGUAUACAAGUGAUAAUAAAAGAAUUUAAAGGUAUACAAGUGAUACUUUUCAAGGGUAAAAUCAUCAAUUCGCUAUAAUUCCGUUAACUUUCAAACGACAGCUAACGGUUUAGUGGUCGGCAGAUAACUUUUUUCAAUUUAGGGUGGACGAUUGAUACACCCUCAAAGUGUUAUAGUAUUUUUUAUAAUAGAACAUCUAUAGGGUAUACGAAUGAUAAUAUCCCUAAUCAAUCCUUAAUUCAACUUAGGUUUAAGUAGUAUAUAAAAAAUCUUCUUUAUCACUCUUUUCAUUUUUAUUUAGAUUAAAAUUCAUAUAAAUAAAUAUAAAGAAUUAAUUUCAUAAUUUAUUUAAACUAAAAUUUUAUAUUAUAUUAAAUAUCCAAAUUUUAAUUCAAUAAUUUAUUUAUAUUAGAAUUUUAUGCAAUAUUAAAUCCCAAAACUUUAUUUAAUAAUUUAUUUACAAAAAUAUUAAUAUCAAAUUCAACAAUUAGUAAUAUAAUUUAAAAUAAUUACACUAUUUUAAUAGUUAUUUAGCUAUAUUAAAUUAAAUUUAACAUAUCCUUGUCCGAUACUAUACUAAACAAACGAUAGUACCUUAUAUAGUAUAGUCAAUCUAUUAUAAUAUAAUUCAAUCUAAUCGAACGUGCCAAAUCAGUACAUUUUAAAAAAUAAUUUUAUAACAGCUUUAAAAAAGCAUUUUUUAAGUUACUUUUACAAAAUGUGCUUUCUCCGAAAGCACUCGUGAAAUGCAAAUUCUCACAAAACACGUGGUGUGUUCAAUUGGGCCUCCGCCCAUUAAAACUACAACCAUGAAAGCAAGCAAUGUUCAUUGGGCUUUAUUCUCUCGAGAAAACUUAUACACGUAGCCCACCACCGGCGCCCUAAUUUGUCUCCACCUCUCUAAAUAGAGUUGGACUAUUGGCACCUUUCCAAAAUUCUUCUGAAAUUCCUUUUUCAAUAAUAUUAAGUUUAAUGCUAAAAAUAUCCUUAUUUCCAAAUAAAUACAUUUAAUUUGUGAAUAUUUUAAUUUUCUAUUAUUUUCUCGCUCCUCACAAACAAAUUUUUAUGGGCGAUAAACUUCUUGAUAAAAAUCAAUUAAUUAAAUAAAAUAUCUAUAAGAUUAUAAUGUAAAAAAUUUUAUUAUGAGUCUUAAAAAAAGACAGAUAAAUUUAUCAGAAUGUGUUUUGUUUAUUAUCAAUAGAUUAUUUUAGUAAUUAAAGAAAAAUUUAUAGAGAAUUUGAGAAAAAAAAUUACGUGUGAGUUUGAUAGCAAAGAAAAUAUAAGAGUUUUUUUUUAAGAGAGAAAAUACAAAAGUUUGAAGUGAGAUAAAAUAGAUAUAAGAUAUAUUAGAGUAUUUAUCCUUAAAUUUAAUUGUAACAAAAGAGAGGUUUUAAAAAGAUUUUGGAGGAGUGUCUCCAACUCCUCUAAAUAUUAUUGAUUGAUGCAUAUGUUUCACAGCAUAGAGUGGCUUACAUUGGAGCUUUUCUAAAAAAAUGAAAAUUUCAUUUAAUUAUUUAUUAUUCACGGAUAAGAAAUUAACUUCUUCUUUUUUCUAACGCCACAGUCUGGUGAGCUUGCCUAGUGUGUUUUAGUUGGAUAAAAAUUUUAGCAAAUGCUUCUUGGCAAGGAAGCUUAAAUAGUUUAACCUGAAUUUAACCUCGAAUGAACCCAAAUUAUUAAACCGAACCAAUCCGAAUUGUGAAUCUGAAUUUCAGUUCGAUUCAGUUUGGUUCAGGUUCGUAUUUUCAACUCGAACAAGUUUAAUGCUCCAAUUCGAUCAGGUUGUAACCUAAACCGAAACUCGAAAACCCGAACUGAAACUCAAUUUGGCCACCCCUAAUGAGAACUGAGAAGUACCUGGAUCGUAAAAGAAAGGUUUUGAUGAUAAUUUUGGCUAAAAAUCUGUUUCUUAACUUCUAUUUUUAUUUUUUUAUGCUGUAUUUUAGUUGCUGAAUAGGUUAUAUAUAGAAGUUCAGUUAAUUUUGUUUUGGAUGAAAAAUCAAUGAGUACUUCUGUGAUUAAUAAGUGAAAUUUUGUUUGCAUCAUAUAGUCAGCUAUAAUGCAUUGGAUGGCUUUGACUCAGCAUGGAAGAAAUGCUCUCCGGCAGAUUACUAAAGAGAGCUCUGAUCGCGUGUUGCAUCACCCAUUGCUAUUUUCUUGUCAAGGAGUCAGAUACAGACGAUUGGAAGUGAUUCUAACAACAAUGAGUAAAUUGAUCUUUUGUUUUCCCUUUUCACCAGUUUGGAUCUCUUGACUAAUCAGCCUGUUUGAGUUUUAACUUGUGUAUUAAUGAUUGGUUUUAUAUGUUCAGAAAGUUGACAAGCUUGGUAAAGCCGGUGAAACUGUGAAGGUUGCUCCGGGGUAUUUCCGGAACCACUUGAUGCCCAAAUUGCUUGUUGUUCCAAAUAUCGAGAAGUUGGCUCAUCUCAUUAGAGAGCAGCGCAGGUAUUUGUUUUUCAUGAUUCUUCUCGGUUGAACUUUUUUUGUUUGGGUUGAGAAUGGUUAAUUCUAGUGAUACAGAAAUUUGCUCAUUUUCUUUAGAUACUUUGUUUAGCCAGUUUGUCAAUUAAUUUGACUCAUGGCUUCAAAUUAUUGCUAAAUUCUCAGUUUGGAAAUAUUUGUGAUUUUUGAAGGGGCAUUACAAGUUAUUAAAGUUUGUUGUGCCUGUGACUUAUUUUCAUCAGAUUUGCCAGCCUGAGGAAGAGGAAGAGGAAGAGGAAGAGGAAGAGGUUAGAGUUAUCCGGAAGUCUGAGGACAAUAUGAGUAGAGAAUUUGAGAAGGCAGCUAGGCGCCUAGAGAAUGCUCGACUGGUUUGUGGCCUAUCUUUUAAUUUCUUCAGAUUCGGGACAAAUUGUCUUGGAGUGAACUGAUGUGUUGCCUUUUCCUUUUUUUUUAGCUUGAAUGAUCUAUUUGCUACAGUUAGGAGUGAACGUCGUAAUGAAUUUUAAAUUAUACUGUUUGUUUCGAUUUACUUUUCUAUCUUAGCUCCAUCAAGUGAUUAGUGGAAUGCUGGUCCUGUGAGUAUAAAAUGAAACUCCUUAAGUUAAAUUCCUUAGGCUGUGUUUAUUUUCUGUAGUGGGAGCGAGGAGUGUAAAUUCUUUUCAUUUCAGUAUUUAUUUCAACAAAUUGGCUCCGGAUUGAGAAUCCCACUCAGUAGACCCCACCCAUUUUUGGAGUGAGAUUCCCAUGGGGAGAGGUGGGAGUGAGAUUCCCACUCCCACCUCUCCCUUUUUUUACAUUUUUUUUAAUUUAAUUUAAUUUAACUUAAUUUAAUAUUUAAUAAAAUAAAAUAAAUAAUAUCAUAUUUAUUUGAAUAAUAUUAUUAUAUUUAUUUUAAAAAUAAUAAUACUAUAUUUAUUUAAUAUUAAUAAUUAAUAAUAAUAAAUAGUUUAUUCUAAGAAAAUAUUAAUUUUGUCCUAAAUAAUAUUAUAUUAUUAUUUUAUAUAAUAAUAAAUUUAAUAUAAUUAUAUUAAAUAAAAUAAAAUAAUGUUUCAUUUUAUAUUUACCCUUCUUUUUUACCCUCUUUUUAUUAAAUUUACUAUAAUUAUAUUUAAUAAAUAUUUAAAUAAUAUUAUAUUUAUUUAAAUAAUAUUAAUAUAUUUAACUAAAUAAUAAUUUGGUUUGAUUCUAAGUCUAAAUUACUUAAAAAUAAUAUUAUUAUAUUAAUACAGAAUUAAUAAUAUUACUUUUAUACCAUCUUUAUUUGAAAAUAUAUUAUUAUUAUUAUUAUAUUUAUUUAAAAAUAUUAGUAUUAUAUUUAUUUAAUAUUAAUAAUUAAUACUAAUAAAUAGUUUAUUCUAAGAAAAUAUUAAUUUCAUACUAUGUUAAUAGUAAAAUAUUUCAUUUAUAUUGCCCUUAUCAAUAAUUUUUAAUUUAUAUAAUUAAAAUUAAAAUUAAUAAAAAAAUGUGAUGUUCAUAAUUAAGAAUAUUAAUAAUUAUUAUAAAUUUACAAAUAUAAAUGUUUAUUCAUUAAAUAUAUUUUUUAUUAACUUUGUAAUUAAAAACUAUAAUUCUUUAAAUAAGGAUAAAAUUGUAAUUUGAAACUAUUUACUCCCAAUCCGAGACAAACUAAACACAUAAAUUGAAUUCUGAUCUCCAUUCCAUGCUUUCAUUUUAGUGUAAGUAAACAACAUACUCCCACUCCCAAUCCUAAGAUUCCCACUCCAAUUCAAAAAGUAAACGCUACCUAAAUACAAGUAAUCUUGCUUUCAGAUAUGAAUUAUCUGAUGGAUGUUGUAUUUUCAAGGUAUUGAGGAGAUUCCCCAAUAUUGAAAAAUUGCGUUCCCGUGCAUCAAAAGAUGAUCCCAUAGAAUUGCGUUCACCUGUGACAAAAGAGGAGCUUGUAGUUGAGGUAUGGAUUUUUAUAUUUCUUGGUUGUUUUUAUACUUGUUUCUCAUCAUAAUAGCAAAAGCAGUUUGUUCUGAGUGAUCUGUGUGGUCUCCUAUCAAUGACUGCCGUUUCUAUCAUUUAGUACUAUUGACUAUGUGUGUAUAAAUAUUUUGUUUUUACCAUGUAAUUUCAUAUUCGAUGCAUUUCUAAUACAUUGCAUAGCGUCCAUGAAUGGGAAUGAUAAAAUAAAUUUCAAGCGUGUUUCAAUAGAUGAAAAAACUUGGAACGAUUUAGAAGGAUUUGCUGAUUAAAUAAUUUUCCAAUUUGUUUGCUUGGAGGAAUUGAAUAGUUAACUGAUUAAAGGAUUUCAAGGUGGUUCGGUCCCGCUGGGCAUUGUCAAUAUCAACGGUCAUUAAUUCCUAUUAUCUGAAAUUGAAUUUCCAGUGUGGCAUGGUAACUUUCUGCUAGGGUGUGAUUGUAUAGUAGCCAAUUGUGAGCAACAGAUCCGCAUAGUAAUAUAGAUUGAAAUUUUGCAUCUUAAUCCAUGAAGAUAUAGAUUUUGGCAAUAUUAUACAAGCACUGGGGAUUACCUUAAAUAUUCUGGACUUGUCAUUGAUAGAGUUUCUUUUACCUAGUUAUUGAUAUUUCUUUCAAUUUUCUAUUUUACUCAUACAAUUUAUACAAUUUUAGGUGGCAAGACAACUUUCGUUUUCUAUUGAGCCUGAAAACCUGCAUCUACCAUCACCUCUAUCUGCUUUUCGAGAAUAUGAGGUUCCUAUGCGCUUACCCAAAGCCAUCCCCCUACCGGAAGGAAAGGUCCAAUGGAUUCUCAAUGUUAAAGUCCGCGGCAAAUAAAUAUUUUUUAGUUAAUUUUUUAAUCAAUAAAAAAAGGUAAUUAAAAAUGUAAUUAAUAAAUUACUUAUUAGCAAAUUAAAAAACAAAUAUUAGCAUAAAAUAAUUGAUAUUUCAUUCUCUUACAACAAUCUUACCAAUUAUUAUUUAUAAAUUAAUUAAUGCAAGUUAAUUUAAAGUAAUGUUUAAUAUUCUUGUAACAACCUUACUAAUAAUUUUUUGAUAAAAAAAUUAAUUUAUUAAAUUAAUCCUAGAAGUAAAAUAAUAAUAAUUAAUUUGUAUUUUAUUUUUAAGAUUAAUUUGAUAAAUUUAAUUUUUUUUAACUAAUAUCUCCAAGAAUAUAGUUGUAACGAUAUUAUUACAAAAGGAAAAAAAAUAUAAGAUUAUAAUAUAUUUACCAGUAAGAAUAAUUUAAAAUAUUUUUUAAGAUAUAAAAAUUAAACGGACACUUAAUUAAAAAAAAAAAAAAAAAACUAAAUAAGUAGUUAGCUUUUAACAUUUCAACCUAGUGGUCAUACAAUCAUGGUGCGGCCCGGGAUGGCUGGCCCAGCCCAUCAUGUAAAAAUCCAUGUCACCCUCAUUCUUAAGCUGCUACUCUGCCACUUGCCACGGAGCUCCCCACAUCAUACCGUACCGAUGCCUCUAGAAAGCUAACUUUAAAAAAAUGGUAUUAAUAAGCGUACGCCACGUCACUCCUCACUCUCUUCUUCGUCACUUUCCUCUCACUCAACAUUUUCUCCCCAAACAAAUUCCUUCUUUGAAAAAUCGCAUUUUCUCCUUCACAGCAACCGCUACAAUGUCUUCAACUUCCAAGAAGGUAAUUUUUUUAAAUUUUAUUUUUUGUUUAGUUUCUUUCUGUUGCCUUUUUGUUUCGUUUUUUGAAUUUUCUGUGUCGUUUUUUUUUUCCCAAGGUUUUGGUGCCUGUUGCGAACGGGAGUGAGCCGAUUGAAGCCGUGAUAACGAUCGAUGUUUUGAGAAGGUCUGGAGCUGACGUCACGGUUGCGUCUGUGGAUAAACAGCUUCGUGUCGACGCGUGUCAUGGUGUCAAGAUUGUCGCUGAUGCUCUCGUGUCUGACUGCCGCGACGCUGUUUCUGAUCUUAUAGCUCUGCCCGUAUGUAUUGCAGCUCACCUCAGCUCAUGCUAAUUUAUGUGAUGUUUGUAUAAUUAUAGAUGAUUACUGCUGAUACUGAAUGUUAAAGCUAAAUAAUUCGUUCUUAAGUCAUCUUCAUUUAAUUUUCGAUUGAAAAUGAAAAAAAAAAUAAUUUUAAGCAAAGAAAAUGUUUAUUUUGUUUUAUUUUUAUUUUUAAAUUUUUGGGAUUUCCUUAUUGUGACUGUUGUCAUUCAUUAUAUGGUCCUAGUUAAAUGUUUCAAGUUGUUGUAGUCUGUGAAACUCUUUUCGAUAUUUGUUCUGGCAUGUACAUUUUUCCUUUCAAUUUAUUUUGUUGCUGAUACUUUGAUUAUGAUAUAUCCUUUUUUGUUUCCCUUGUAGGGUGGCAUGCCCGGUGCUACCAAUCUGAAAGAAUCUGAAGUAUUAGAAACCAUUGUGAAGAAGCAGGCUUCAGCUGGGCGUCUUUAUGCUGCUGUCUGUGCUUCACCUGCUGUGGCAUUAGGGUCUUGGGGUCUGUUGAAGGGAUUGAAGGUAAGAAUUAGAUAAGCCUUUUUUUAUGUUUGGUGUUCUUUUGGGAAUUGCAUUGAUAUUUGUGUUAUACAUCAGUUUUGCUCUCACCGAUGAUUGUUAAGUUCUAAUUUAUGGGGUUAUUCAUUUUUUGUAGGCUACUUGUUACCCGUCAUUUAUGGAGCAAUUAGCUCCUGCUUGUGCAGCAACUGUUGAAUCAAGAGUACAGCAGGAUGGUAAAGUUGUUACGAGUCGUGGACCUGGCACUACUAUGGAGUUUGCCAUUGCACUUGUCGAGCAGUUGUAUGGGAAAGAGAGAGCUGAUGAAGUUUCUGGGCCACUGGUAGUAACUUUUAUAGAUAAUGUUGUUUAAAAAAAUUGUGAGUUAUAUAAUUUGUGGAAAUUCAUUCUAAUAGGUUCAUCUAGUAUGUCAAAUUGGAAGGUUCAGAUGCUAAUAUAUUCCAAAAAAUUUGUUCAGGGGAAAAGUAUGACUUUUUGCAUUAGAGAUUCAUUAGAUGAAGUUGUAUACCUGCUGGCCCAUCUUAAUGUGGUGAAAACGAUGUCUGAUGAGACUGAUAUAAUUAUUGGAAUCUUGAUAAAUGCAUUUGUUGAGCUUGAAUGUCUCCACUGAUCACGUUCUUUUUAAUGUAAGUUCUUUCUCUUGGUAUUUGUCUUUGAAUCUUCUCUUCCUCAUGCUUUCGUCUUCACUGUCACCUUGUGCCUAGGUAAUGCGUGCAAAUCAUGGAGAUGAAUACACUAUUGCUGAAUUCAAUCCAAUUCAGUGGACAUUUGACAAUUCUCCCCAAGUAAGAUUUGACUUCUAGUUUCUUGUAGUUGUUUUUCUUCAUCCGAUGUUUUCAGGGAUACCCAUUUGGCAGUAUAUAAAAGUCUGUGAUAUCUUCUAUACAUAUACAUCAUUGGCUUCAGUCAUUUUCGAACAUAUUGGAGGUAGUAGAUGUAUUUUUAUGAUAUCUCUAAUAAAAUCCCAAGUUUGAUCAAUUACAAAAGAAGUAUGAGCGGUGCUGGACCGGGGGGGAAGAAGAAGUGGGGGGUCGGUGUGGUGGGGGUGUGCAGUGCAUGAAUAAAAGGAAAUGAUAGGGGGUGAAAGUUUGUGCUACCGACAUGCUGUAAAAUGGGGACAUAAUAUUUCAAAUUAGAUAUUGUGUGAUCCUUAAUAUUGCUGACUUUUGCUUAAAAUGGAAUUCUUGAUAACUUCAAAUGUUAAAGUUCUUGGUGAAAUUUUGUACUUUCUUUUCUUUCAGAUUCUUGUGCCUAUUGCAAAUGGUUCAGAGGAGAUGGAAGCUGUUAUGAUAAUUGAUAUUCUGCGACGAGCUAAAGCAAAUGUUGUAGUUGCAUCAGUUGAGGAUAAACCAGAAAUUCUGGCUUCUCGUCAAAUUAAAUUAGUGGCAGAUGUGCUCAUUGAUGAGGCGGCUAAACUCUCGUAUGAUUUAAUUGUCUUGCCAGUGAGUUGGGGUGCUUACUGUUGCUUCAUAGUCUUUACCACAUAAUUGACUUACUAACUACAAUUUAUCCAUGCACAUUGCAUAGGGUGGACUUGGUGGCGCUCAAGCAUUUGCGAAGUCAGAGAAAUUGGUGAAUAUGCUAAAGAAGCAAAAGGAAUCAAAUAGACCUUACGGUGCUAUAUGUGCAUCCCCAGCUUUAGUGUUGGAGCCCCAUGGCUUACUCAAGGUACGACCAUUUCUGCUUAAAUUAUUUACUCAGAUUUGGAUCACCUAAUCUGAACUUGAUGAAGGAUUAUGAUGUUGUGUGAUUUUAUGAAUGUGGUCUUAUCUCAUGUAAGUCGGUGAUGAAUUAAUUGAAGUUUGCUGACAAAUUAGAAACUGAAAAACUGCUGCUGCUUCGUUAGUUACAUUACCCAAAGAGUUAAAAUAAACAUCCCAAAUUUUUUGUCCCAAAUUCUGUCCCAAAUGAUAUGGCAUUUAUUGAGUGAUUGUAUUAUCUAACCAACCAAUUGAUGAAUGACACAUCAUUUGAGAUGGUUUUUUGGGAUAAAGAAUUUGGGAUUUUUACCCGCAAAAAUCCCAAGUACUUCCUGCUCCUGCAAUAUCAUUGCUGUGUAUUUGUUUUCCCCUUAGACAUAUUCAAUUGUGGUUCAGGGUAAAAAAGCUACAGCUUUUCCUGUUAUGUGCAACAAGCUGUCAGAUCAGAGUGAAAUCGAAAACAGGGUUGUGGUUGAUGGCAACCUCAUCACCAGUAGAGGGCCAGGAACUUCUAUGGAGUUUGCACUGGCAAUUGUGGAGAAGUUUUUUGGCCGCAACAAGGCACUUGAGCUUGCAAAGAUAAUGCUUUUCACUCGCACCUAACAUUUGUACGGGGACCUGACUACUAUUAAACUAGUGUGUUUAUUUCUGUAUUGCUACUGCUUGUAGAGAGGGGAAAUGGAAACUUGAAUUCAUGUUUGAAUAUGGAUUCACUGUGUGGGUUUGUACAGCAGUUUGAUUUAUAAAUAAAUGAGUUCAAAGAGUUACUUCAAAUAUUCGGAAUAAACCUGAGUUUAGUUCUGUUAUCAAUGGUCGGAGUCCAAUUGCGAUCGACACACUGGGAAUUUUAAUUAUGAACUAAAAAAUUGUUAUGUUAUAUUCCACCUUUCUCAUAAAAUGUUAACUCGAUUUACAGGAUAAGAAGGAAAAGAAAGACGCUAAGAGAGGAGCAGAGACCCAAAAAGAGUUGACCACUUUGUUGGAACAUAAACCUCUAGAAUAUUGAAAUAAAACACAUACCAUAUCUAGUAUUAAGUAUGUAUAUGCAAGAAGAUACAAAUUUGAAGAUCAGAUUUCUCAUUUCAAUUUAUGUUCUGCUUAGAGCAAUGGCUCUUAUUCCACAAGCACAAACAGGAAAGAGUACGCACGAAGUUAAGAAACACACAUUGCAAAAGUUGCAUUAACUACUUGCAGCAGCAUCAUCCAAGAACUUGACUUUAAUCUUCUUGAGCUUCGCUGCGGCAUCUGUCAUAUGCAUUCUCUUGUCAGGUGACUCUAUACAACAAUCCAAAGCCAAAUCCAUGAUGCUUAAUAAACAAUCCAUUUUGGCAGAAAAAGCUUGCUCUUCUCGCACCAAAUUUGCGUCAACAACUUCAGUCAAUCCGUGAGGUAAAGACUCCUUUACCCAUCUCCUUAAACUCAUUUCUCCUGCGAACAUUUCAUCGGUGGGCCUCUUUCUCGUGAAGGUUUCCAUCAAUAAAACACCAUAGCUGUAGACAUCACAUUUAGCUGAAACAAUUCCUUCUGAUCCAUACUCUGCAUUUUUUAAUUUUAAUUAUGAAACAAAUGAUAAAACAAAUAAUUUUUUGAUAAUUAAGGUAACCCAAACUUUGCUCGUGCUUGAAAAAAGAGUAAAAAUUUUAAUUACAAUUGAAACUUUACCUGGUGCCAUAUAACCAAUUGUAGCCAUUGUCAUGGUUUGUGUCACAGAAUCUUCUCCUUCACCUAAGAGUUUGGAAAUGCCGAAGUCGCUCACAUGUGCCACCAUAUUUUCAUCCAAGAGAAUGUUGGUGGGCUUCAAAUCACAAUGAAUUAUAGGUGCCGACGAAUGACCAUGAUGGAGAUAUUCAAGGGCCGACCCCACAUCUAUCAUUAUGUUCAACCUCUCUAGGAUGUCUAAGAAAUAGUUGUGAGAAUAUAACCACUUCUCGAGACUACCAUUUGGCAUGAACUCAAGUACCAAUGCUUUAAAAUCUUGAUUAGAACAACUGCUAAGGAUCUUUAUGAGAUUUCGAUGACGAACAUUCAGUAAAACUUCACAUUCAGAAUCAAAACUCCUAAAUGCUCUCUCUAGUUGCAGAUUGAAAACCUUUAUCGCAACAUCAGUCCCGUCGGAAAUGGUUCCUUUAUAAACUGAUCCAAAGCUACCUGUACCAAGCAAGUUACAUUCAUUAAAUUCAUCAGUUGCUCGUUGAAUGUCUAGGUAGGAUGUUCUUCUCCAUGUUGCAAGAGGUAGGAAAUCUUCGUGAUCUGAUUUUUUUGUACUCCUCUUUCGGCAUCUUAUGUACAUAAUGAUGAUAAUCACUAUAAGUACAGAGGAUACUAUCGGAGGCAAAAUAUAUUUAAGGACAAUUAGAGCAACGUUUUUGGUGCUUUUGCUGUCACCUUGUUUGCAAGGUGGGACUCGGAAUUUAGGUGGACCACAGAGUGCAUAAUUUCCGAAAAAUGAUUCAGCUGACAAGUUUUUAAAAGACCCCUUAACAGGAAUUUCCCCUUCUAGCCUAUUAUGAGACACAUUAAAUUGUUUGAGAUGUGAAAGUGUCUCCAAUGACUUAGGAAUUUUUCCAGAGAGAUUGUUGCCAGAGAGAUCUAAGGAUUCUAAGCUUAUCAAACUACCAACUGAUUCAGGAAUAGGUCCUUGAAAUUGAUUACUAGCCAAUGAUAGAGUUUCUAUAUCUUUGAGGGCACCGAUGGUUGAUGGAAUAUCACCUGAUAAUUGAUUCCUUGAUAAAUCUAAAACUCUCAAGACCUUUAACUUUUGUACAUUGGAAGGGAGAGAAUCAUUUAACGAAUUUGACGACAAGUUUAUCUCUAAGAUGUACUCAAGGCUCCACAAGGAUGACGGUAUACUAGAAGUGAGCUUGUUGGAGCCUAAGUGGAGUUCUCUUAGAGAUGUCAGACUCGCCAAGCAUGGUGGUAUAUGUCCAGAGAGCUUAUUUCCAUUUAACAUUAUUCCGUACAUCAACUCCAAGUGGCAAAGAUCAUAGGGAAUGGAUCCUUCCAAAUUAUUUUCUUCAAGAGAUAAACCUUGUAGCCGCUUAAGUCUUCCCAUCGUUGGUGAAAUAGUUCCAUUCAAGUCAUUGAAGCCGAGGCUUAAGAGGAUCAGGCCACGCAACUUACCAAUUUCUUUAGGAAUGCUGCCCCCGAGUUUGCAGUUGGAUGCAUAAAAUUGUCGAAGAGAAGCAGAGAAAUUUCCAAUUACUGGUGGAAGGAUGCCACCCAAUGGAUUAUAAGCUAAGGCUAAAACUGUUAAAUUUCUGCAAUUAGUCAGAGAAGAGAGAAAACUCCACUGAUCUGCUGAAGAUGAUUCUGUCGUCAAGUUAUUAAAUGCUAAGCCAAGCACGCCGAGGUGUCUCAAGUUGCCAAAUGUAUUUGGAAUAUGGCCUGAGAAUGAGUUAAAGCUCAAUUCUAGGCCAAUGAGUUUAGAAGCGUUUGUGAUGGAGUUGGGAAUUUUUCCGGUAAGGUUAUUGGCCGCCAAGGUUAAAUACUCUAUGCUCGGAAGCGAGUGGCCAAUCGUUGAUGGUAAGUGGCCUGAAAGUUGAUUGCUAAUUAGAUUAAGGACUGUUAGGGUUGAAAUGUUGAAGAUUGUGGGUGGAAUGGGGCCACUUAAAUUAUUCGCACUAAGAACAAGGGUAUCCAAAUUUUGUAGAUUGCCAAUCUCAGUUGGAAUUUGACCUGUCAUAAAGAUAAACGCCAAAUUGAUGAGUUAUUGAGCUUUUUACUUAACAUAAAUUUUAAUUUCAUAACGCAUGAAAAUCAAAUUUGCCCACAAAAUGUGUGUUAUUAGUUUUAUAAUUUUUUUUUGGGUUUUUUUUGGGGGGGGGGGGGGGGAGAUUGAUAUUGCUACCUCAUAAUUUUUGUAAAACCCCACCCGCUUUCAGAGAAUUAUUGGAACAAGAUUCUUAAAAAAAUUCAAAUAAAGAAGAAGUUUGGAGAAAUAAUCAAUUAAAUCCAUCUUAAUAUACUUUUUGAAACUUAUAUUCUUUUAUCAUAUAUAAUAACUAAGGUUGCUUUAACAUAAAUUUAAUAUAACUAGUCUACUCUCAUAAGGUAGAAUUACUAAAAUACCCACAAAUUUACUUCAACUUCAACUAAACUAACAAAAUGUAUUUGUUGACAUGUGGGGAACUAAAAAUUAUUGAAUUUUAUUUUAGAAAUAUUGUAUUACAAAACAUAAAACAAAAUGCCGAAACUAUAUAUUAGAUACAAUAGUACAUGUUUUUCGGGGUAAUUUGGUCAUUUUAUAUUAUAAGAGUAAAAUAGUCAAAUUAAACUUAUUUUAAAGCAACCGUAAACGGUCAAAGAUUGUUAAAAGCCCUAAGUCAUAAAAGAAAAACAUUAUAAAAAUAAUUUAUUAAUUGUUCAGACUUAAUUUAUAAUUUUAUAACAUAAUGUGAACUUAUUAUAACUAUCUUUUCAAAAUGAGGUGGGUUUGCAAGAAUAAUGAGUGGAAAUAUCCCCACCCUAUAAAAUAAAAAGAAUUUUGCAGCUAUGCAAAUGCAAAUAUGUAGAACGUACCUUGUAGGUUGUUAUAACCUAGAUUCAGAAUGAAAAGGCUGCUAAAAUUUCCUAUCCCUGAAGGAAUAUUUCCAUCAAUAACGUUGUAGAUUGCGUCGAACACCUCCAGCUUCGAUAAAUUGAGGAGAGAAUUUGGGAUUGGACCCGUGAAACUGUUAUUAUAAAGCCUCAACGUUUGUAAUUUGGAUAAGACACCAAUCCAUGUUGGAAUGCUUCCACUCAAUUUAUUGAAACCGAAUCUAAUGAAUCUGAGUCGGCGUAAUUGCCCCAAUUCAUUAGGCAGAUGGCCAUGAAAAUUAUUAUGAGCAACAUCAAGAGAUACUAAGAACGUGAGAUUUCCCAAGUGUAGUGGAAUGGUGCCUCCGAGACCCAUAUCUGAAAGAUUCAAGGCAGUGACUCUUUGAUGGCGUGAACCACAAGAGAUACCAACCCAGCUACAUAUUGGAUAAGAUAUAGACCAAUUAUUUGUCAGAUCACUUCGAUAAUCAACGACACGGGCUUUGAAUGCAAGAAGAGCCGAUUGAUCUGUUGUUAAGUUGCUCAAAGUCGUCAUAGCUAAGCUAGCUAUGGAAUAUUGUACCAACAACAUAGGAACAAAGAAGAAUGAUAAGCACAUAUUGGUCGUUUUUUUUUAUAGAUGCAGCAAUCUAAUUGCUAGGUGAAGUUGAUACAAGUUUUAAGUGAAGGAAACUAGCAUAUACUUAUACAAGAGACGUAUGAAUUUGAAAACAAGAAAAGAAAAAAAUGUACAGGAGAGUGGAGACAUGCAAAUUGGUAUAUUUCAUCAUUGAGCGAGUCGUCCAAGUAAACUCAUACAGACCUGUAAAUUGUUAUAGGCCGCGGUACUUGAACCGUGAAUAAAGGGCUUAUGGCACUUGACUUACCAAAAAGAAGAAGAUGCUCAACAUUGGCAAGGCCUAUGCAUUCUGUCCAUUUGUUCACGUUUUGCCAAGGCUCAGGGCAACCACAAUAUGUUCUUUUUCUUCCCUCUUAAAACAAAAAACAAAAAAAAAAGACGACAUUUACAUUUGGGCUAAUAAUUAUAACUAAACAAUUAAUAAUACUGAGGGUCAGUGGUAAUGUAGCUUUAAAAUAAUUGUUAUUAGUUGUGUCUUAAAAAUAAAGAAAAAAAAUAACUAUACCCAUAUAAUUAAUAAAAUAAUCAUGUAAAUUCCUAAGCUUUUAACAAUAUACACCAAGACCCCCUACCGUUACUUUUUACCAUUUAUUUGGAUGUCACAUGCUUUUUUUUUUUAAUUUUCACAGUGGAUAUCAAAUGCUAAAUUUACUGUUAUUCCCAUAUCAUGUCAUCACUUGCUUCUACACACAUUGAUUGUUUUUCCAAAGUUUCAAAUUGAAUUAAAAACAUUCUAAUUAACCUAAAAAAAACUCAUCCAACCAGAUAUAAAUCAUCUAAUUAACCUAAAGAUAGCUACACCCCCAUAUUAAUUCCAAUUAAAUAAAAUUCAUUUUUGUCAUGAUUUUGGAUCUCGAGCAGGGUGGAUAUAUCCAACUAGAUCCGCCCCAUUGGCAUUCCAGUAUAUUCUGUAAUUGGAAGAGUAUGAAUGACUUAAUUUGUAAUUUUAAAUUUGUAACGUUCAAUUCUAAUUUGAGGAUUCAAAUGAAUUUAUGCGAAUCUAAAAGGGGACUGAAGAUUGGCAUGCAUACAUGCAUACAUAUACAUAUAUAUAUAAAUAGAGAGAGAGAGAGAGAGAGAGAGAGAGAGAGGUAAUAUAACAUUCUUCUUGAUGAAGAUUUUUGUGCCAUACGAAUUAAAGAGAGUAUUGUGUCGAUGUUCGAGGCUAGAGCGACAAUUGGUUACAUUGCUUCAGAGGUGUUUAGUAGAAACUUUGGUGAGGCAUCACAUAAUUUAAAUUACUAGAUUUAGCGAGAUAUAUAUAUUUUCCACAUUGGAUUUACAAGCAUUUCGAGCAGUAUAAUGAAUUAAAAUUACUCGGAAUUGUAAACAGCGAGGAAAGUGAAAUUGCUAAGAAGAUGAAUAUUUUGUUGUUUUGUGGUGUACACGGACUCGUCCAUCGGAUAGGUCGCCCAUGAACAGAGGGAUAGAAAUGUUAUUGCCAAGAAGCAGACUGACUAGCAGUGACGCUUUGAAAAGUCCACCGGACAUCGUCUCCUCCAAGACCACCAAUAGAUUCUUCCACCAUUUCAACGUCGUGACGUGGGGAUCGGAAUUGAAUUAUAGGAUGCUUGUAAGUUUCCUUUGUGGAACUUGUGAAUUUGUGAUGGCAAAAGUCAAUGAUGCAUGUAACUAGCUAGCCCGUGUAGACUCCGUUUUACACUUUUUCAAAACCCAAAAGCACGCUAAAUCUUAAUCUUAAAAGAAUUUUUGAUUCAGUGCUGAAUUUUGGGCUUAUCUUUAAGUAAUCUUUUACCACGCAUGCAUUUUUGUCAUUGUGCAGUCAUCGAUUGCUUCUAAAGAUCGUAAUCCUUAAGAAAAAAUUACUUCUCUUGAAAGUGAAAGCAGGGCAGCUAUUGGCGUAUUGCAUUGCAGCUGCUAUGUGUAGUAGUCAAUUCUUGGAAACAACUAGUUUUCUUAAAUUGUAAACGGUCCCCUUUAUGACUGGGAGAUUUUGAACAAAAUUAAUAUGACGAAUUCUUUGCAGGUGUUGUUCCUUGAAGUCUCAUCUUUCACAAUGUUUCUGAAAUAAAGAUAUUACCAUCUCUGAUUUAAUAUUUAUUCUUGAUUUGUACCACCUAAUCUGAACUUGAUGAAAGAAUAAAGAUUAUGAUCUUGCCUGAUUUUAUUAAUGUGGUCUUAUCUCACGUAAGUCAGUAAUGAAUUAAGGAAAAUUAUCAUUCGUAUACCCUAUAAUUGCUCUGUUAUAAAAAAUACUACAACACUUUGAGGGUGUAUCAAUUGUCCACCCUAAGUUAACAAAAUGUAUCUGUCAUCCACCAAACCGUUAUUUGCCGUUUAAAUAGAAUGACACCAGAGGGGUAAUUUUAUCUUUUCAUAUGAUACAAGUGAUAAUUUAAGGGUAUACAAGUGAUAAUAAAAGAAUUUAAAGGUAUACAAGUGAUAAUUUUAUUUACUUUAAUUUAAGUUUCAAGGGUAAAAUCGUCAAUUCACUAUAAUUCCGUUAACUUUCAAACGGUAGCUAACGGUUUGGUGGUCGGCAGAUAGCUUUUGUUAAUUUAAGGUGGACGAUUGAUAUACUCUCAAAGUGUUGUAGUAUUUUUGAUAAUAGAGCAACUAUAGGAUAUAUGAUUGAUAAUUUCCCAUGAAUUAAUUAAAGUUUACUGUCAAAUUACAAACACAAAAACUGCUGCUGCUUCAUUAUUCACAAUACCUAAAGUCAGUGCAGAACUUAAUAAGUUUUCCAAAAGUUUUACGCUUUCUUUCCCCCAAAUCCCAAGUACUUACUAGAUAUGUCAUGUUUAUACCCAAAGUCAGUGCAGAACUUACUCGAUAUGUCAUGUUUACACAAGAGUUUGUUUAUAAAUAAAUGAGUUGACAAAUAUUUGCCAAAAAAAACGGUGAGUGAUGUCUAGUUCUAUUUUCACAGUUCAGAGUCCAAUUUUGAUUACUGGAAAUUUUAAUUAUGAAGUUGAACUAAGAAUUUGUUAUAAUAUCUUCAACCUUCCUAUACAGUCAUCUGGAAUAAUAAUAUAUCAAAAACAGUAAUAACUCGAUUUACAGGGUGAGAAAGAAAAGAAAGACGCUACGAGGGAAGCAGAGAUUCAAAGACUUCGCCACUUUGUUGGAGGAACAAUUUCAUAAAUCUCCAGAAUAUUGACAUAAAACACAUAACAUACAUAUCUAGCAUUAAGUAUAUUUAUGUAUGUCCAAAGAUAAAAAUUUGAAGAUUAAAUUUAUCAUUUCAAUUUAUGUUCUGCCCAAAGCAAUGGCUUUUAUUCCACAAGCACAAACAAGAAAGAGUACGCACAAAGUUAACAAACACACAUAGCAAACGUGACAUCAACCACUUGCAGCAGCAUCAUCCAGAAACUUCACUCUAAUCUUCUUGAGCUUUUCAGCGGCGUCUUUCGUAGAUGCCCCCUGUUCUGGUGAUUCCAUGCAACAAUCCAAUGCCGAAUGCAUGAUGCUUAAUAAACAAUUCAUUUUAGGAGAAAAAACUUGCUCUUCUCUCACCAAGUUUGCAUCGACAACAUCACUCAAGGCACGAGGUAAUGACUCCCUUACCCAGUCUCUUAAACUUAUUUCUCCUGUAAACAUUUCAUUUGUGGGAUUCUUUCUGGUGAAAGUUUCCAUCAAUAAAACACCAUAACAAUAGACAUCACCUUUGGCCGAAAUCAUUCCUUCUAAUCCUUACUCUGCAUUUUUUUGGUUUCGAUAGAUCAAAUGGAUGUGACAUCAUAAAACAAAUGAUAAACAAAUAGUCUUUUGACAGUCAAGAUGGCCCAAACUUUGACUGUGCUUCGAAAAGAGCGAAAAUUUGAAAUUAUAAUUGAAACCUUACCUGGUGCCAUAUAACCAGUUGUAGCCACUGUCAUGAUUUGGGUCACAGAAUUUUCUUCAUCACCUAAGAGUUCGGAAAUGCCGAACUCACAUGUGCCACCAUAUUUUCAUCCAAGAGAAUGUUGCUAGGCUUCAAAUCACAAUGAAUUACAGGUGCUGAUGAAUGAUCGUGAUGGAGAUAUUCAAGUGCCAGCCGCACAUCUAUCAUUAUAUUCAACCUCUCUAGGAUAUCUAGGAAAUAGUUGUGUGAACACAACCAUUUCUCAAGACUACCAUUGAGCAUGAACUCAAGCACCAGUACUUUAGAAUCUGGAUUGCAACAGCUGCUAGUGAUCUUUGUGAGAUCUUGAUGACGAACAUUCCACAAUACUUCACAUUCAGAAUCAAAACUCCUAAAGGCUCUCUCUAGCUGCAGAUUGAAAACCUUUAUUACAAUAAUAGUCACAUCAUAAAGUGUGCCUUUAUAAACAGAUCCGAAGCUCUCCAUACCUAGCAGGAUACAUUCACUAAAUCCAUCAGCUGCUCGUUGAAUAUCAUGAUAGGAUAGUCUUCUCCAUGUUGUCGAAGAGAACAAAUCUUCUUUAUCUGGAGUUCUUGUUUUCCUAUUUUGAAAUAUUAUGAAGAAUCAUAACAAUUGUUAUUAGUGCAUUGGAUAUAAUCGAAGGCAAAGUAUAUUUCAGGACAAGCAGAGUAGCAUUCUUGGAUCCUUUGCUAUUAUCUUCUUUGCAAGGUGGGACUUGAAGGCCUGGUGGACCACAUAGUGCAUAAUUCUCAAAAAACGAUUGAGCUGAAAUGUUUUUAAAAGGUCCUUUGAUAGGAAUUCCCCCUUCUAGCCUAUUGUGAGACACAUUAAGUUGUUUGAGAUAUGAGAGUGCCUCCAUUGACUUUGGAAUUUCUCCAGAGAGAUUGUUGCUAGGGAGAUCCAAAGAUUCCAACCUUAUCAAACUACCAAAUGAUUUAGGGACCAGACCAUAAAAUUGGUUUCUAGCCAAGGACAAAGUUGCUAGAUCUUUGAGGCCACCAAUACUUACUGGUAUAUCACCUGAUAAUUGAUUUCUUGAUAAAUCAACUCUAUUAAGACCUUUAAGUUUUGUACAUCUGAAGAUAGAUGACCACUUAGAGAAUUUGUUGACAAGUUUACAUACAAGAUGUACUCAAGAUUCCACAAGGAUGAUGGGAUACUAGAAGUGAGCGUGUUGCAGCUUACAAAGAGUGUUUUUAAGGAAUUGAAUAUCUGAAAUCUUGUAUGUAAAUAUUAACACUUAGAGAAUUUGUUGACAAGUUUUUAAGGAUUUACUGAUUAAAUAAUUUUCCAAUUUGUUUGCCUGGAGGAAUUGAAUAGUUAACUGAUUAAAGGAUUUCAAGGUGGUUAGGUCCAGCCGAGCAUUGUAAAUAUUAACGGUCAUUAUGAAUGUGUAAUUCCUAUAUGUGAAAUUGAAUUUCCAUGGUAAAUUUCUGCUAGGGUGUGAUUGUAUGGUAGCCAAUUGUGAGCAACAGAUCCACAUAGUAAUAUAGACUGAAAUUUUGCGUCUUAAGCCAUGAAGAUAUAGAUUUUGGCAAAUAUUAUACAAGCAUUGUUUGCAACACCACAGCUAAUUUGCAGUAGGAUGAAACACUCAGAAUUUUGCCUUUUUCAUGUAUAAAAUUUUAUUUUUUUAAUUGUGAUAUUACAGUUUUGCCCAUCAAGCAUUAUGAAGCUUAAUAUUUGGAUAAAUGUUAGGUUUAAUCUAUAAAUUUUAACUUCAGUGUUUAUUUAGUUUUUAUAUUUUGUAAAAUAUCUCAAGGCAGCCCUAUUAUCAAAUAUUGGCUUGAUCCGUAUAUAUUAACUUCAGUGCUUUAUUUAGGUUUUAUAUUUUGAAAAAUACUUUAAGGCAGUUCUAUUAUCAAAUAUGUUAUGCUCUUGCUUUUAUUUUUUCUUUGUUUUUAUAAUAAUACUCUGAUAACAAUAUUUUUUUACAUUAAUUUUUUAAUCAAUAAAAAGGUAACUAGCAAAUUAACUGAUAAAUUAAUUUGUUAAUUUUUUUAAUCAAUAAAAAAUUUAAUUAAUAAAUUACUUGGUAGCAAAUUAAAAAAUAAAUAUUAGCAUAAAACAAUUGAUAUUUUUCAUUCUCUUACAACAAUCUUACUAAUAAUUUUUUUAUAAAAAAUUAAUUUAUUAAAUUAAUCCUUAAAAGUAAAAUAAUAAUAAUUAAUUUGUAUCUUAGUUUUAAAGUUAAUUUGAUAAAUUCAAUUUUUUAAUUAAUAUCUCCAAAAAUAUAGUUGCAACGAUAUUAUUGCAAAAGUAAAAAAAAAAAUAUAUAUAGAAUUUUAAUAUAACUGCCAGUAAAAAUAACUUGAAAUAUUUUUUAAGAUAUAAAAAUUAAACCAACACUUAAUUAAAAAUAUAAAGAAUUAAAUAAACAUUUAUCUUCUAACAUUUCAACCUACUGGCUAAUGGUCAUACAAUCGUGGUGUGGUCCGGGAUGCCCGGCCCAGCCCAUCAUGCAAAAAGCCAUGUCACCCAUAUUCUUAGGCUGCUACUGCAUUAAAAAAAUGAUAUUAAUAAGCGUACGCCACGUCACUCCUCACUCUCUUCUUCGUCACUUUCCUCUCACUCAACAUUUUCUCCCCAAACAAAUUCCUUCUUUGAAAAAUCGCAUUUUCUCCUUCACAGCAACAGCUACAAUGUCUUCAACUUCCAAAAAGGUGAUUUUUUUUUAAUUUUAUUUUUUGUUUAGUUUCUUUCUGUUGCCUUUUUGUUUCGUUUUUUGAAUUUUCUGUGUCGUUUUUUUCCCCCAAGGUUUUGGUGCCUGUUGCGAACGGGAGUGAGCCGAUUGAGUCCGUGAUAACGAUCGAUGUUUUGAGAAGGUCUGGAGCUGACGUCACGGUUGCGUCUGUGGAGAAACAGCUCCGUGUCGACGCGUGUCAUGGUGUCAAGAUUGUCGCUGAUGCUCUCGUGUCUGACUGCCGCGACGCCGUUUUUGAUCUUAUAGCUCUUCCCGUAUGUAUUGCAGCUCUCCUCAGCUCGUGCUAAUUUAUGUGAUGUUUGUAUAAUUAUAGAUGAUUACUGCUGAUACUGAAUGUUAAGCUAAAUAAUUCGUUCUUAAGUCAUCUUCAUUUAAUUUUCGAUUGAAAAUGAAAAAAAUAAUAAUUUUAAGCAAAGAAAAAUAUAGAAAAUGUUUAUUUUGUUUAAUUUUCAAUUUUUAAUUUUCAGGGAUUUCAUUAUUGUGACUGUUAUCAUUCAUUAUAUGGUCAUAGUUAAAUGUUUCAAAUUGUUGUAGUCAGUGAAAUUCUUUUCGAUAUUUAUUCUGGCAUGUAUAUUUUUCCUUUUCAAUUUCUUUUGUUGCUGAUUCUUUGAUUAUGUUAUAUCCUUUUUUGUUUCCCUUGUAGGGUGGCAUGCCCGGUGCUACCAAUCUGAAGGAAUCUGAAGUAUUAGAAAGCAUUGUGAAGAAGCAGGCCUCAGCUGGGCGUCUUUAUGCUGCUGUCUGUGCUUCACCUGCUGUGGCAUUAGGGUCUUGGGGUCUGUUGAAGGGAUUGAAGGUAAGAGUUAGAUAAGCCUUUUUGAUGUUUUGUGGUCUUUUGGGAAUUGCACUGAUAUUUUUGUUAUGGUUCAGUUUUCUUCUCGCUGAUGAUUGUUAAGUUCUAAUUUAUGUAGUUGUUCAUUUUUCCUAGGCUACUUGUUAUCCGUCAUUUAUGGAGCAACUAGCUCCUGCUUGUGCAGCAUGUUGAAUCAAGAGUACAGCAGGAUGGUAAAGUUGUUACGAGUCGUGGACCGGGCACUACCAUGGAGUUUGCCGUUGCACUUGUUGAGCAGUUGUAUGGGAAAGAGAAAGCUGAUGAAGUUUCUGGGCCACUGGUAUUAGCUUUUAUAGAUAACGUUGUUUAAAAAAAUUAUGAGUUAUAUAAUUUGUGGAAGCUUCAGAUGCUAAUGUAUUCAAGAAAAUAAGUUCAGGGGAAGAGUAUGACUUUUUGCAUUAGUGAUUCAUUAGAUGAAAUUGUAUACCUGCUGGUCCAUCAUAAGGUGGUGAAAACAAUGUUUGAUUUAAUUAAUGAAAUCCUGAAAUAUGCAUUUGUUGAGCUUCAAUGUCUCCACUGAUAAAAUUCUUUUUAAUGUAAGUUCUUUCUCUUGGUAUUGUAUUUGAAUUUUCUGUUCCUCAUGCUUUCGUCUUUACUGUCACCUUGUGCCUAGGUAAUGCGUGCAAAUCAUGGAGAUGAAUACACUAUUGCUGAGUUCAAUCCAAUUCAGUGGACAUUUGACAAUUCUCCUCAGGUGAGAUUGGACUGUUAGUUUCUUGUAUUUGUUUUUCUUCUUCCAUGUUUUGAGGGAUACCCAUUUGGCAGUAAAUAAAAAUCUGUGAUAUCUUCUAUACAUGUACAUAUACAUCAUUGACUUCACUCAUUUGUGAACAUAUUGGAGGUAGUAGAUUUAUUGUUAUGAUAUGUCUAAUAAAAUCCAAAGUUCGAUGCAACUACAAAAGAAGUAUGAGCAGUGCUCGACCAGAGAGGAAAAAGGUGGUUUUUUUCUUUUUUUUUUUUGGGGGGGGGGGGGGGGUUGGUUGGGUGGCAAAGGGAAUGAUAAGUUCAGGGUAUCAACAAGCUGUAAAAUGGCUAUCGAAAAACUGAUAUUUCACAUUAGAGAAUGUGAGGACCUGAAGAUUGCUGACUUGUGGUCAAAAUGGAAUUCUUGAUAACUUUAAAUGUUAAAAAUUCUUGGUGAAAAUUUUGUACUUUUUUUUCUUUCAGAUUCUUGUGCCUAUUGCGAAUGGUUCAGAGGAGAUGGAAGCUGUUAUAAUAAUUGAUAUUCUGCGACGAGCUAAAGCAAAUGUUGUGGUUGCGUCAGUUGAGGAUAAACUAGAAAUUCUGGCUUCUCGUCAAGUUAAAUUAGUGGCAGAUAUGCUUAUUGAUGAGGCAGCUAAACUUUCGUAUGAUUUGAUUGUCUUGCCAGUAAGUGGGGUUGCUAACUCUUGCCUCAUAGUCUUUACCAAAUUAUUGACUUACUAGCUACAAUUUAUCUAUGCACAGGGUGGACUUGGUGGUGCUCAAGCAUUUGCGAAGUCAGAAAAAUUGGUAAAUAUGCUAAAGAAGCAAAAGGAAUCAAAUAGACCUUACGGUGCUAUAUGUGCAUCCCCAGCACUAGUGUUGGAGCCCCAUGGCUUACUCAAGGUAUGACCAUUUCUGCUUAAAUAUUUAUUCUUGAUUUGAAUCACCUAAUCUGAACUUGAUAAAACAUUGUGAUCUUGUGUGAUUUUAUGAACGUGGUCUUAUCUCAUGUAAGUCUGUAAUGAAUUUAUUGAAGUUUGCUGACAAAUUACAAACUCAAAAACUGCUGCUGCUUCAUUAGUUACAGUACCCAAGGAGUUAUGAUAGACAUCCCAAACUUUUUACCCCAAAUUCCCUCUCAAAUGACAUGGUAGUUAUUAAGUGGUUGGUAAUUUUUUAUAAGAUAUAAGUGAAUUAAUUAAUUAUAUUAUUUAAUCAACCAAUUGAUGAAUGUCACGCCAUUUGAGAUGAAUUUUUGGGAUGUGUAGCAAAACUUUAUGCUGAUUUGUUUUGGCUACAUUCAUGUAAAACAUUUUUCCCCAAAUCCCAAGAACUUCCCGCAAUAUCAUUCCUUUGUAUUUGUUUUCCCCUUUAGACAUGUUUAACUUUGGUUCAGGGUAAAAAGGCUACGGCUUUUCCUGCCAUGUGCAACAAGCUAUCAGAUCAAAGUGAAAUCGAAAACAGGGUUGUGGUUGAUGGCAACCUUAUCACCAGCAGAGGGCCAGGAACUUCCAUGGAGUUUGCACUGGCAAUUGUGGAGAAGUUUUUUGGCCGCAACAAAGCACUUGAGCUUGCAAAGAUAUUGCUUUUCACCCGCACCUAAAAUUUGUACCAGGACCCGACUAAUAUUAAACUAGAGUGUUUAUUUCUGUAUUACUACUGCUUGUAGAGAGGCGAAAUGGAAACUUGAAUUCAUGUUUGAAUAGGGAUUCACUGUGCGGGUUUGUACAAGAGCUUGUUUAUAAAUAAAUGAGUUCAUAAAGAGUCAUUUUAAAUAUUUGGAAUAAACGUGAGUUGCUGUUUAGUUCUGUUUUCAAUGUUCACCGUUCAAUUGUGAUCCAGAGCAAUAUAACUACACUCACUGGGAAUUUUAAUUAUGAACCAAGAACGAAGUUGAACCGAGAAUUUGAUACUUUAUAUAUUCCAGUUACCAUAUUUAAGAAAGAGUAUUGAAAAGAAAGACGCUAAGAGAGAAUAUUGAAGUUAAACAGAUACCAUAUCUAGUAUUAAGUCUGUAUGCCAAAGUUACAAAUUCGAAGAUCAGAUUCCUCAUUUCAAUUUAUGUUCUGCUCAAAACAAUGGCUCUUAUUCCACAAGCACAAACAAGAAAGAGUACGAACAAAGUUAACAGAGACACGCAGUGAAAAUUACGCUAAUUGGUUGCAGCAGCAUCAUCCAGGAACUUCACUUUAAUCCUCUUGAGCUUUGCUGCAGCGUCUGUCAUAUUUAUCCUCAUGUCGGGUGACUCCAUACAACAAUCCAAUGCCAAAUCCAUUAUGCUUAAUAUACAAUCCAUUUUGGCAGAAAAAGCUUGCUCUUCUCGCACCAAAUUUGCGUCAACAACUUCACUCAAUCCGUGAGGUAAUGACUCCUUUACCCAUGUCCUUAAACUCGUUUCUCCUGUGAACAUUUCAUCGGUGGGCCUCUUUCUCGUGAAAGUUUCCAUUAAUAAAACACCAUAGCUGUAGACAUCACAUUUAGCUGAAACAAUUCCUUCUGAUCCAUACUCUGCAUUUUUUUUAAUUUCAAUUAUGAAACAAAUGAUAAAACAAAUAAGUUUUUGAUAAUUAAGGUAACCCAAACUUUGCUCGUACUUGAAAAAAGAGUAAAAAUUUUAAUUACAAUUGAAACUUUACCUGGUGCCAUAUAACCAAUUGUAGCCAUUGUCAUGGUUUGUGUCACAGAAUCUUCUUCUUCACCUAAGAGUUUGGAAAUGCCGAAGUCGCUCACAUGUGCCACCAUAUUUUCAUCCAAGAGAAUGUUGGGAGGCUUCAAAUCACAAUGAAUUAUAGGUGCCGACGAAUGACCAUGAUGGAGAUAUUCAAGAGCCGACCCCACAUCUAUCAUUAUAUUCAACCUCUCUAGAAUGUCUAAGAAAUAGUUGUGAGAAUACAACCACUUCUCGAGACUACCAUUUGGCAUGAACUCAAGUACCAAUGCUUUAAAAUCUGGAUUAGAACAACUGCUAAGGAUCUUUAUGAGAUUUCGAUGACGAACAUUCUGUAAAACUUCACAUUCAGAAUCAAAACUCCUAAAUGCUCUCUCUAGUUGCAGAUUGAAAACCUUUAUCGCAACAUCAGUCCCGUCGGAAAUGGUUCCUUUAUAAACUGAUCCAAAGCUACCUGUACCAAGCAAGUUACAUUCAUUAAAUUCAUCAGUUGCUCGUUGAAUGUCUAGGUACGAUGUUCUUCUCCAUGUUGCAAGAGAUAGGAAAUCUUCGUGAUCUGAUUUUCUUGUACUUCUAUUUCGGCAUCUUCUGUACAUAAUGAUGGUAAUCACUAUAAGGACCGUGGAUACUAUCGGAGGCAAAAUAUAUUUAAGGACAAUUAGAGCAACUUUCUUGGUUCUUUUGCUGUUAUCUUGCUUGCAAGGUGGGACUCGAAGUUUAGGUGGACCACAGAGUGCAUAAUUUCCAAAAAAUGAUUCAGCUGACUAGUUUUUAAAAGACCCCUUAACAGGAAUUUCCCCUUCUAGCAUAUUUUGAGACACAUUAAAUUGUUUGAGAUGUGAAAGUGCCUCCAAUGACUUAGGAAUUUUUCCAGAGAAAUUGUUGCCGGAGAGAUCUAAGGAUUCUAAGCUUAUCAAACUGCCAACUGAUUCAGGGAUAGGUCCUUGAAAUUGAUUACUAGCCAAGGAUAGAGUUUCUAGAUCUACGAGGGCACCAAUGGUUGAUGGAAUAUUACCUGAUAAUUGAUUCCUUGAUAAAUCUAAAACUCUCAAGACCUUUAACUUUUGUACAUUGGAAGGGAGAGAAUCAUUUAAUGAAUUUGACGACAAGUUUAUCUCUAAGAUGUACUCAAGGCUCCACAAGGAUGACGGUAUACUAGAAGUGAGCUUGUUGGAGCCUAAGCGGAGUUCUCUUAGAGAUGUCAAACUCGCCAAGCAUGGCGGUAUAUGUCCAGAGAGCUUAUUUCCAUUUAACCUUAUUCCGUACAUCAACUCCAAGUGGCAAAGAUCAUAGGGAAUGGAUCCUUCCAAAUUAUUGUCUUCAAGAGAUAAACCUUGUAGCUGCUGUAAUGUUCCUACAGAUGUUGGAAUAGUUCCGUUCAAGUCAUUGAAGUCGAGGGUUAAGAGGAUCAAGCCACGUAAAUUACCAAUUUCUUUAGGAAUGCUGCCCCCGAGUUUGCACUCGUAAGCAUAAAAGCUUUGAAGAGAAGCAGAGAAAUUUCCAAUUAAUGGUGGAAGGAUGCCACCUAAUGGAUUAGAAUCUAAGACUAAAUAGGAUAGCUUUCUACAAUUAGUCAAAGAAGAGAGAAAACUCCACUGAUCUGCUGAAGAUGAUUCUGUCGUCAAGUUAUUCGUUCGUAUGCUGAGCACGUUGAGGUGCCUCAAGUUGCCAAAUGUAUUUGGUAUAUGGCCUGAGAAUGAGUUAGAGCCCAAGUCUAGACCAAUGAGUUUGGAAGCAUUGGUAAGAGAGUCAGGAAUUGUCCCGAUAAGAUUAUUGAUCGCCAAGGUUAAAUACUCUAUGUUCGGAAGCGAGUGGCCUAUCGUUGAUGGUAGGCGGCCUGAGAAUUGGUUGCUGUGUAGAUUAAGGACUCUUAUGGUUGAAAUAUUGAAGAUCGCGGGUGGAAUGAGGCCACUUAAAUUAUUCGUACCAAGAGCAAGACUCUCCAAAUUUUGUAGAUUGCCAAUCUCGGUUGGAAUUUGAUCUGUCAUAUCGAUUAAACCAACAUUGAUGAGUUAUUGAAUUUUUUGCUAAACAUAAAUUUAAUUUCAAAAUUCAUGAAAAUCAAAAUUUCCCACAAAAUAUGUGUUAUUAGUUUUAUAAUAAUUUAGGGGGUAAUGAUAUUUCUACCCCAUGAUUUUUGUAAAACACACAUGCUUUUAGAAAAUUAUUACCGCAAGAUCACAUUAUUCUUAAAAAUUCAAAUUAAGAAGAAGUUUCUAGAAUUAAUCAAUUAAAUCCAUAUUAAUUUAUAUUUGAAACUUAUAUUCUUUUAUUAUAUUUAAGUACUAAGGUUGUUUUAACAUAAAUUUAAUUGACUAUUUUACCCUCCUAAGGUAAAAGUACUAAAAUCCUCAAAAAUUUACUUCAACUAAACUAACAAAAUGUAUUUAUGACCUAUGGGGCAUUAAAAAUAUUGAAUUUUAUUUUUAAAAUAUUAUAUUACAAAACAUAAAACUAUAUGCUAGAUACUAUAGUACAUGUUUCUUGGGGUAAUAUAGUCAUUUUACAUUAUAAGGAUGAAAUAGUCAAAUUAAACUUAACUUGAAGCACCCGUAAAUGCCAAAAAUUGUUAAAAGACCUAAGUCAUAAAAGAAAAUUAUUAUCAGAAUAAUUUAUUUAGUUAAUUAUCUGACUUAUUGUUAAUUUAUAAUUUUAUAAGCUAUUGUGAACUUAUUGCAAUUAUCUAAUGGAGAUGAGGGGGGGUUUUGCAAGAAUAUGAGCGGCAGUAUUGCCACUCUAUAAAAUAAAAAGAAUUAUGCAGUCAUGCAAAUGCAAAUAUGCUGAACUUACCUUGCAGGUUGUUAUGACGAAGAUCCAAAUCAAAAAGGUUGCUCAAAUUUCCUAUCCCUGAAGGAAUAUUUCCAUCAAUAACGUUGAAACUUGCUUGUAACAUCUCCAAUUUCGAUAAGUUGAAGAGAGAAUUUGGGAUUGGACCCGUGAUAUUGUUAUUACGAAGACUCAUUAUUUGUAAUUUGGAUAAGACACCAAUCCAAGUUGGAAUGCUUCCACUCAAUUUAUUGAAACUGAAACUAAUGAAUUUGAGUCGGCCUAAUUUCCCCAAUUCAUUAGGUAGAUGGCCAUAAAAAUUGUUCAAAGUAACAUCAAGAGACAUUAGGAAUGAGAGAUUUCCCAGGUGUGGGGGAAUAGUGCCUCCGAGACCCAUGCCUGAAAGAUUUAAAGCCUUGACUCUUUGAUGGCGUGAAUCACAAGAAAUACCAACCCAGCUGCAUAUUGGAUGAGAUAUAGACCAAUUAUUUGCUAGGACACUCCGAUAAUCACCGACGUGGGCUUUGAAUGCAAGAAGAGCUGAUUGAUCUGUUAAAUUGUUUAAAGUCGUCGUAGCUAAGUUAGCUAUGGAAUAUUGUAACAACAUAGGAACAAAGAAGAACGAUAGGCGCAUAUUGGUCGUUUUUAAUAGAUACAGCAACAUAAUUGCUAGGUGAGAUUGAAACAAGUUUGAAGUGAAGGAAAUUAGCAUAUACUUAUACAAGAGACAUGAAUUUGAAAACAAGAAAAGAAAAAAUAUACAGGAGACUUGCAAACUGUUAUAUUUUGUCAUUAAGCGAGUCGUCCAAGUAAACGCACGUAUGGACUUGCAAAUUGUUAAACGUCGCUGUACUUGAACCGUAAACAAAGGGUGUGUUUGGUUGGAGGAUUAAAAGUGGGGAUUAGACACUUUUUUUUUUUUUUAAAUUUUAUCCUUAUCUCAUGUUUGGUGCUGUCAAGGGUAUUAGGAUUUAGUUAUCUUGAACUCACAAGCUAAUCUUAAUUUUGUAAAGGAAAUUAUCCCAAGAGGGGUCAUGGGAUUAGUUAGUAUUGGAUUAUAUUGAUAACUCAAUUAAACAUAAUAAUUUAUAAAUAUUAAAAUUAUAGUAAUAUGUGAUAAAUGUAAUAAAAAAAUAUUGAUUUUAAUAAUGUAAAUAAUAAAUUAUACUAAAAAUCAUUAUUAAUUUCACAUUAAAUUAAAAUUCUAUUUUACUUUAUUUAAUUAUUAAAUAUUUUUUAUAAUUCCAAAUUUACGUUAUAAAUUAAUUAUUAAAUUAGUAUUCAAAAAGAUAAAUUUUUAUAAAAUAAUAGAUUAUUGAAUAAAUAUCAUAUAAAUAUCAUAUACAUAUUUAACAAAAUAAUAAUUAUUUAAAUUAUGAUUUCUAUUUCUUUAACGUCAUUGAGGUUGAUUUGUAUAAUUAAUAAUACAAAAUUUUAGUUUAUAAUAAUAUUAAUAAUAAUAAUAACUUGUAAAUUGUAAUAUUAUAAUGUAAAACAUGAUUAUUUAUAGUCCAAUCUAAUAUUGUACCAAACACAAUAUAGUAUUAUAUAUAAUCCACUAUUAUUCAAUCCAAUUCAAUUUUAUCCAAUUUAAUCUAAUCUAAUUCAAUCAAAUCCGGCGGACCAAACCAGCCCAAAGGGUUUAUGGCCCUUUACUUACCAAACAGAAAAAGAUGCUCAACAUUGACAUCUUUGACCCAAUCCAAAUCUAAUCCAUACAUCUGCGGAUCAGAUGCAGAUUUAACCUAAUCCAUAUCCAAUCCACCAUUUUACGGAUUGGUUUGUAGACUGAAAAAUAUUAUAAGAAUAAUUUAUUAAUUGUUCAGACUUAAUUUAUAAUUCUAUAAGAUAAUGUGAACUUAUUAUAACUAUCUUAUCAAAAUGAGGUGGGAUUGCAAGAAUAAUGAGUAGAAAUAUCCCCAACCGAUAAAAUAAAAAGAAUUUUACAGCUAUACAAAUGCAAAUAUGUAGAACGUACCUUGUAGGUUGUUAUAAGCUAGAUUCAGAUACAAAAGAUUGCUAAAAUUUCCUAUCGCUGAAGGAAUAUUUCCAUCAAUGACGUUGUACGUUGCGUGUAACGCCUUCAGCCUCGAUUAAUUGAAGAGAGAAUUUGGGAUUGGACCCGUGAAACUGUUAUUACGAAGACUCAACACUUGUAAUUUGGAUAAGACGCCAAUCCAUGUUGCAAUGCUCCCACUCAAUUUAUUGAAAGUGAAACUAAUGAAUAUGAGUCGGCGUAAUUGCCCCAAUUCAUUAGGUAGAUUGCCAAGAAAAUUGUUCAGGCUAACAUCAAGAGAUUCAAAUGAAUUUUUGAUGGCGCGAACCGCAAGAAAUGCCAAUCCAGGUACACAUUGGAUAAGAUAUAGACCAAUUAUUUGUCAGGAUACUUCGAUAAUCAACGACACGGGCUUUGCAUGCAAGAAGAGCCGAUUGAUCGGUUGUUAAGAUGCAAUAGUGAGUAGUGAAAGUGGUUUGAGGUGGAGAUGCACCGGGAUCUACGGCCAUCCUGAGUUCAGCCAGAAGCAUAAUACUUGGACUCUCAUGAAAAGGUUAGCCAGCCUAUUUUCCUAUCCUUGGUGCUGUUUUGGUGAUUUUCAAUGAGAUAAUGCAUAUGCAUGAGAAAAACGGGGGCAAUGAGAGAAACCUGAAUAGGGUUGCCGAGUUUAGGGAAGCUGUGCAAAGCUGCAAUUUGCAGGAUAUGGGGUGUAAGGGAUAUCCCUAUACGUGGUCAAACAAAAGAUACAGAGAUCAUUUUAUUGAUGAGAGAUUGGACCGUUUUCUGUGUAGUAAAGAUUGGGGGAUUAAUUUUCAAGAAUCUGUAGGCACAAAUCUAGUGAACUGGUCUUCGGACCACUGCCCAAUCAUUCUAGAUUUCCAUGAGCGAAGCCAAAAUUCGAGACAUGCGGGCAAAUCUCUCCCCCGAGAUUAUUAUGAGGAUAUGUGGAGCUCCCACGAAGGCUGUAGGAGUAUAGUCCAGGAAGAGUGGAGCCGGUAUGGGGCUAGAGCUUGGGAAGCCCCUGUUCAGCAAUUUCAAUGAAUAGCCAAAUCUUCCUUGGCCCAGCUAAAACUUUAGAGCAAAACCGAAUUUCAUGGUAGGCAAAGAAAGUAAGAAAAGCUUAUGCAGAGCCUCCAGGAUGCUAUGAGAGGGAAUUCAAAGCUGGAUGAUGGCCAGGAAAUUAGGAGAUUGGAAAGUCAGAUUAACUCUAUGCUAGUUGAUGAGGAGAUUUACUAGAAACAGCGUUCGAGGGCCGACUGGCUUAGAGAAGGGGAUAAGAACACGAAGUAUUUUCACGCCAAAGCAUCUGCCCGCAAAAGGAAGAACAAGGUGUGGGGGAUUGAGAAUGACCAGGGCAUUUGGUUGAAGGAAAGGGAUGAAAUAGAGGAGGAGAUUUGCAGCCAUUUCCAAAAGCUUUUCACUACUUCCAGCCCGACUCCAAGCCAAAUCCAAGCAACCCUUCAAGGCAUGACAACAAAAGUAACUCCGGAGAUGAAUGUUCAGCUGGAGAAGCCGUUCACCGCUGAAGAUGUUGAGGAAGCCCUUGCCAACAUGUGUCCCACAAAGGCCCCAGGGCCUGAUGGUCUUCCAGCUGCCUUCUUCCAGAAGCAUUGGAAAUCUGUCCGUAACAGAGUGAUCUCAACGUGCCUUAAUGUCCUUAAUGAGCAAGGUAACCCAUCUACCCUCAAUCACACCUUUAUAGCUUUGAUUCCAAAAAUUGCAAAUCCUAGGAAAGUGAGUGAUUAUAGACCUAUCAGCCUCUGUAAUGUUAUUUAUAGAGUUGUAGCUAAGGCCAUUGCAAAUAGAAUGAAGCCGAUCUUUUCCCAAAUCAUCUCCCCUAUGCAAAGUGCAUUCAUCCCCAAUAGGCUCAUUACCGACAAUGUUAUUAUUGGUUAUGAAUGCCUUCAUAAAAUUAGGCAUAGCAAAGGGAAGAAGAACGGACUUGUAGCUUUAAAAUUGGAUAUAAGUAAGGCUUAUGAUAGAGUUGAGUGGCCUUUUUUGGAACAAACUAUGCUAAAGAUGGGGUUUCCUAGUAAUUGGGUAGCUCUGAUAAUGAGAUGUGUUAUUUCCACUUCAUUCUCGGUGCUAAUUAAUGGUGUGCCAAAAGGAAUGAUCCAGCCAAAAAGAGGCUUGCGACAGGGCUGCCCGCUAUCCCCGUACCUUUUUAUCCUUUGUGCAGAGGCUCUCUCCAAUUUGCUGGUUGUGGCAGAACAGAACCAGCUAAUCCAAGGGCUCAAAUUUGCGCGGGAAGUUUCAAUUACGCACUUGCUGUUUGCGGACGAUAGCUUGGUAUUCUCUCGUGCAUCAGUGGCUGAAUGCAGGCAUUUAAAAGAAAUGUUUGAUAAAUAUGCUGCAGCAUCAGGGCAGAUUUUUAAUUUUCAGAAAUCCUCACUGUUCUUCAGUGGAAAAAUUCCAGAGCAUCAACGGGCUGCUAUAAGGGGUAUCUUUAAUCUAAAUGUAGUCUCAAAGCAUGAGAAAUACCUUGGCCUACCAUCAAUGAUUGGGAGAAAGAAGAUGGGGUUCUGUAACGACAUCAAGCUGAAAGUGUUGAACAAGAUUGCAGGAUGGCAGCAUAAAAUGUUGUCUAGUGGGGGGAAGGAAGUUCUGAUCAAAGCGGCAGCCCAAGCAAUUCCGGCGUAUGCAAUGAGUGUUUUCAAGCUCCCAAGAGGCUUUUGUGAUGAUAUUCAGCGAGCUAUAGCGAAGUUCUGGUGGGGCUCGAAAGGGGAUAAGCACGGAAUCCAUUGGCGAAAAUGGGAGAAGCUCAGCCAGGCAAAGAUUAGAGGGGGGCGGGGAUUUCGAGAGUUUUCUUGCUUCAAUCAAGCGCUGGUAGCUAAGCAAGCUUGGAGGUUACUGCAGUACCCAAAUUCGCUGGUCUCCAAAGUCCUUCAAGCAAGAUAUUUCAGGAAUUCCAGCUUUUUAUGUGCAAAGGCAGGAGCCAAUGCCUCGUAUAUUUGGAGAAGCAUCAUGUGGGGUAGGCAGGUGAUUAAGAAGGGUAUGAGAUGGCAGAUAGGUAAUGGCAAGAAGGUAGCAAUUUUCUCGGAUAACUGGCUGCCAAGACCAGAGACCUUCAGACCUAUCUUCCCUCCAUCUUUGCCCGUAAGCUCAGUUGUUGCAGAUUUAAUUAAGGCUGAUAAUCAAUGGGAUGAAAUAAAGCUUCGACAGCACUUCAUGGAUGUAGACACAGCAGAGAUCCUCAAGAUUCCCCUCCCAACUGAGAAAGAAGAAGAUGGAGUGCUUUGGGAUUACGACAAAAGAGGGAACUACUCUGUCAAGAGUGGGUAUCAGCUAGCAUUGAGAUCAAAAUUUCCAGAUUCCACCAGCUGCACAGAGGCUUCCCACAAGUACUGGAGUGCCCUUUGGACACUGGAGUUGCCUGCGAAGCUUAAAAUUUUCAUGUGGAGGGCCUCUAAUAAUCUGCUUCCAUCGGUGGAAAAUCUGUGGAAAAGGAAGGUAGUGGAGGAGCCAACUUGUAAGCGAUGCAAACUGAGUGUUGAGACUAUCAGCCAUGCUCUCUUGGAGUGUAAGGUAGCGAGAAAAAUUUGGCUCCAAUCCCCCUUUUCAGGCCUUAGAUUAGAAGCCAAUUCUCAGGACAUUUUCAGCACUUUGCAAAAUAUGGCUAAGGAGAUGAGGAAAUCAGAUCUGGAAUUAAUGGUAGCUCUGUGUUGGUCUGCCUGGUAUGCUAGGAACAAAUGUAUCUUCGAUGGCAGGGAGAUUAAUCCUAUUAUAUCAGCUGCUAAAGCGGAGUCUGUUUUGUCAGCUUUUCAGAGAGUUAGGAAGCCCCAGCAAGCUCACAUCUCUAUCUUCAUAAAAGAGAAGCAGCAGGAGUGGCUCCCCCCUCCCCCGAAUGUUUUUAAAGUUAAUGUGGAUGCUGCUCUUAAUUCAAAGAAUCUGAGUGCAGGAGUGGGAACUGUGAUUAGAGACUCUAAUGGAAAGAUAGUUGCGGCUGGGGUAAAUCAGAACCUCCUAAAGGGGUCAGCUAGCUUGGCUGAAGCAGAGGCGGUGCUUUGGGGCCUUCAGCUGGCGAGAAAGGCGGAUGUAUCCUCUUUGAUUAUUGAGUCUGAUUGUUUAGAGGUGGUCCAGCUAGUGAACAACACCAAGGGCAGCAGAUCAGAAAUUUUUUGGACAAUUCUGGCAAUCCAAAACCAGAUGAAGAACUUCCAGAAAGUGGUUGUCAAUCACAUUCCAAGACAUUGUAAUGCUUGUGCCCAUUACCUAGCUAAGAUAGCUUUGGGGAAAAUCUCUCCCUGUAUGUGGCUGGGAAAUAUUCCAGCUGAAUUGUAUGGUAUUAUCAAGGUGUUGUGAUUAAUGAAAGGUUUACUUUCUUUUCAAAAAAAAGAAGAAUGAUAAGCGCAUAUUGGUCUUUUUUUUUAGAUGCGUCCAUCUAAUUGCUAAGUGAAGUUGAUACAAGUUUUAAGUGAAGGAAAUUAGCAUAUGCAUAUACAAGAGGCGUAUGAAUUUUGAUAACAAGAAAAGAAAACAAUAUACAGGAGAGUGGAGGCUUGCAAAUUGUUAUAUUUCAUUAUUUAGCGAGUCGUCCGAGUAAACGCGUAUAGACUUUUAAAUUGUUAUACGCCGCCGUACUUGAACCGUGAAUAAAGGGCUUAUGGCACUUGAGUUACCAAAAAGAAGAAGAUGCUCAACAUUGGCAAGGCCUAUGCAUUCUGUCCAUUUGUUCACGUUUUGCCGAGGCUCAUGGCAACCACAAUAUGUUCUUUUUCUUUCCUCUAAAAAACAAAAAGACGACCUUCACAUUUGGGCUAAUAAUUAUCACUAAACAAUUAAUAAUGCUGAGGGCUAGUGGUAAUGUAGCUUUAAAAUAAUUGUUAUUAGUUGCGCCUUAAAAAUAAAGAAAUAAAGAUAGUUAUACUAUACCCCCACAAUUUAAUAAAAUAAUCAUGUAAAUUUCUAAACUUUUAACAAUAUACACCAAGACCCCUUAUGUUACUUUUUACCAUUUAUUUGGAUGUCACAUGCUUUUUUUUUUUUUUUUUUAAAUUUUUCACUGCAGAAAUUAAAUGCUAAAUUUACUGUUAUUCCCAUAUCAUGUCAUCGCUUGCUUCUACACAUAUUGAUUGUUUUUCCAAAGUUUAAAAUUGAAUUAAAAACAUUCUAAUUAACCUAAAAAUUAAAAAAAAAACUCAUCCAACCAGAUAUAAAUCUUCUAAUUAACCUAAAGAUAAGCUACACCCCCAUAUUAAUUCCAAUUAAAUAAAUCUUCAUUUUUGUCAUGGUUUUGGAUCUCGAGCAGGGUGGAUACAUCCAACCAGAUCCGCCCCAUUGGCAUUCCAAUAUAUUAUGGAAUUGGAAGAGUAUCAAUGACUUAAUUUGUAAUUUUAAAUUUGUAACGUAUAAUUCUAAUUUAAGGAUUCAAAUUAAUUUAUGCGGAUCUAAAAGGGGACUGAUGAUGGGCAUGCAUACAUACAUGCAUACAUAUAUUUACAUAGAGAGAGAGAGAGUGAGGUAAUAUAACAUUCUUCUUGAUGAAGAUUUUUGUGCCAUACGCAUUAAAGAGAGUAUUGUGUCGAUGUUGGAGGCUAGAGGGACAAGUGGUUACAUUGCUUCAGAGGUGUUUAGUAGAAACUUUGGUGAGGCAUCACAUAAUUUAAACUACUAGAUUUAGCGAGAUAUAUAUAUUUUCCACAUUGGAUUUACAAGCAUUUGGAGCAGGAUAAUGAAUUUAAAUUACUCGGAAUUGUAAACAGCGGAAAGUGAAAUUGCUAAGAAGAUGAAUAUUGUUGUUUUGUGGUGUAUACGGACUCGUCCAUCGGAUAGGUCGCCCAUGAACAGAGUGAUAGAAAUGUUAUUGCAAAGAAGCAGACUGACUAGCAGUGACGCUUUGAAUAAAUCCACCAAACAUCUUCUCCUACAAGACCACCAAUAUAUUCUUCCACCAUUCAACGUCGUGAUGUGGGGAUCAGAAUUGAAUUAUAGGAUGCUUGUAAGUUUCCUUUGUGGAACUUGUGAAUUUGUGAUGGCAAAAGUCAAUGAUGCAUGUAACUAGCCGGCCCGUGUAGAGGCCGUUUGACUCAUAAAUAUUUGUCACUUUCACUCUUUUUCAAAACCCAAAAGCACGCUAAAGCUUAAUCUAAAAAGAAUUUUUGAUUUAGUGCUGACAUUUUGGGCUCACCUUUGAGUAAUGUUUUACCACGCAUGCAUUUAUGUCAUUGUGCGGUCAUCCUUUACUUCUAAAGAUCGUAAUCUUUAAGAAAAAAUUACUUCUUUUGAAAGUGAAAGCAGGCCAGCUAUUGGCGUAUUGCAUUGAAGCUGCUAUGUGUAGUAGUCAAUUCUUGGAAAGAACUAGUUUUCUUAAAUUGUAAAUGGUCCCCUUUAUGACUGGGAGAUUUUGAACAAAAUUAAUAUGAUGAAUUCUUAGCAAGUGUUGUUCCUUGAAGUCUCAUCUUUCACAAUGUUUUUGAAAUAAAGAUAUUACCAUCUCUGACUAAAGAUUUACUCUUGAUUUGGACCACCUAAUCUGAACUUGAUGGAUGAUUAUGAUCUUGCCUAAUUUUAUGGAUGUGGUCUUAUCUCACGUAAGUCAGUAAUGAAUUAAUUAAAGUUUACUGUCAAAUUAUGAACUGAAAAACUGCUGCUACUUCAUUAUUCACAAUGCCCAAAUUCAGUGCAGAACUGAUUAUAAGUUUUCCGAAAGUUUUACGCUUUCUUUCCCCCAAAUCCCAAGUACUUCCUGUAAUAUCAUUCCCCUAUAGAUGUCUUCCCCUGAGACAUUUUUAACUUUGGUUCAGGGUAACAAAGCUAUAGCUUUUCCUGUCGUGUGCAACAAGCUAUUAAAUUAGAGUAUUUAUUUCUGUAUUACUACUAGUAGUAAGAGAGGCGAAAUGGAAUCUUGAAUUCAUGUUUAUACAACAGUUUGUUUAUAAAUAAAUGAGUUGAUAACAAGUCAUUUUAAAUAUUUGCAAAAAAAAAAACGGUGAGUGAUGUCUAGUUCUAUUUUCAAUGUUCAGAGUCGAAUUUUGAUUACUGAAAAUUUUAAUUUAUGAAGUUGAACUAAGAAUUUGUUAUAAUAUAUUCCACCUUCCUAUACAGUCAUCUGGAAUAAUAAUAUAUCAAAAACAGUAAUAACUUGAUUUACAGGGUGAGAAAGAAAAGAAAGACGCUACGAGGGAAGCAGAGAUUCAAAGACUUCGCUACUUUGUUGGAGGAACAAUUUCAUAAAUCUCCAGAAUAUUGACAUAAAACACAGAACAUAUCUAGCAUUAAGUAUAUUUAUGUAUGUCCAAAGAUAAAAAUUCGAAGAUUAGAUUUAUCAUUUCAAUUUAUGUUCCGCCCAAAGCAAUGGCUUUUAUUCCACAAGCACAAACAAGAAAGAGUACACAAAGUUAACAAACACACAUGUUGAUGCGAGAUUCUGGUUGUCCUCGUUCUACGACCAGGGUCUCUGCUCGAUCAACUUCACCACGACCAGGAUCUCUCCUCGUAAAGCUUCUUCUCCAGAGGUUCCUGCGCACACAGACAGGUCAGAGUACGCCGGUUUUUUUCCCGGCGCAAACCCUCCAACGCUCAAGUCAGAAAUAGGGGUUCUGGGAAUGUUUGCCACGAAUCUUAUGGCUUCUUUUUAAUCUCAGUUCUCGGAACUUUCUUUUCUUAGUUCUAAUAGCAAAAAGUCUAACCCUUUUACCUUUGCUGGCUACUUUUUUAUAGGCUUCCUCUGAAUCCCGGUCUUCCGUAGUCCACGCCCAUUACUCUUCCCACCCUCGGAUGUGGAUGCCCCAUUGUCGUCAUUGUGGGCGAAUGGAGAUGGACUUCGUGCCUUGAUUCUCGGAUAGGAACGCACGUCUUGCCAACUGUCGUUGACCGGGUCUCCUCGCCUCGACCCCUAGCAGGAAUGGCCUUAUGCCUCUAACAGGAGUUCGUCCUCGUGAAUGGCAUAUUUGUGGACGAGCAGAAUAUUCCUGCUCCUGUUCCCUUGCUACCAGGCUCUUACAGGACAUACCUGUUCGCAGAACUCUGCCACCAAAUAUAUGCUCAUCAUGUCUGGUCUCGUCGAAGUAUUUCCCUCAAACACCGGUCCCCCAGUUUCUGGUGUUGGGUAAUGUAAUGGACCAGCAGUAGAAACUCAACAGUUCUUGCUCGCGUGAGACUUGAAAAGGCUGCCAAGAGUCGUGUCGCAUUUAAUUGCGGAUGCAGUGAUGUGGCAGAAAUCUACCCCUUCGUUUGAAUUUCAAACCUACGGUUGCAAGAUUCUCAGAAUCUGCGUCAUUAAAUGCUGGCAGCCCAAAAGUUUGCUUCUCAGUAAGAAAACCCAAAAUCCUCAAACACGAACUCGUCAUUUUCUCCAUUCCUGUCUCUCCGGCUAAUGAACCUCGGCAUUAAAGCUUUCAUCCCUGUCUCUCUCUGAGCGAGUCCCUGCUUCAGGUAUUUCUUCUAUCUUCACGGUCUCGGUUAGUUGUAGAUAAUUUCUUUUCUCUUUGCUUUGCUUGGGGUAGUAUCUGGUAGUGGUGUUUUGGUUAUAACCUAGGGAAUGUCGAAGGGUAAGGAGAAAGUCGUUGAUAUUGAUGACGACGAACUAGGUUUCUUGCCUAGUCUGCUCACUGAUUCUGCUUUUGGCCCCGGGAUCCCCUUAGAGCCCACUAGGUCUAGUGUUGGGACUAGCGCUAGGAGGAUGUCCCCCCAAACAACCUCCACGAGCGGAAGUAGUGGCGAGGAGGGACCUUCUGGCUCGGAAGACACCCUAAGUGAGGAUCAAUGAGGUGACUCUGGUGAGGGAUCUUCACCGGGAACACUGCGACCAGAAGGGUGUAGUACAGUAGGAGGUAGAGCCUUGUCGCGGGAUUAUGCUAUUGAUUACAUGACCUGCACGACCACAUUCAACGAGCUGGAUGACCUCCGGCUCAGGUAUCAUAUUCCUGGUGAGGUACUCCUUAGGAUCCCAGGAAAGAAAGAUAGUCUUAGCAGGCCUCCUAGGGGAUUUGUCACCUUGUUCUUGGAGAGUUUUAAGUACGGGCUAAGGUGCCCCUUGCAACUCUAUUUUGCUCGCAUACUCCACGGGCUCAAUCUAGCUCCUGGUCAGUUGAACCCCAAUGGGUGGAGGGUGCUCUUUGGUCUGUUCAUAUUGUGGGACAGAUGUUGCCAAAGCGAGCCCACGGUUGAUGAGGUGAAGCACCUGUACCAGCUAAGGAGUAGCCCCAAAGAUGCCGGCUGGUACUACUUCCAAUCUAGUACCAAGAGUAGGAAACCCAUAACUGAUCUUCCAACUGGUGGUGGUGGGACUUGGAAGAGGAAAUUCUUUUUUGCUGGGGGUCCUUGAGGUCAAGUUGCACAAAUAGACGGGAAGGAUUGUCGCGUCCCACCCCGUUUCACGGUCCCAGGUUGCCUGCUCACUUUAGAUGUCUUGUAUCCAUAAUUGUUCUUACUUUAUUGGUUUGUCUCUAACCAAGUGUCUGUUUGUGUUGUAGUUUCUUGGGGUGUUCAUUUUCCGCUCAAACCUGAUCAGCUCAAACGGGUCGAGGCUGUACUAGCCAACUCCUGCCCGAGCCGAGAACUGAUAACUAUUUAUAACUUCCUCGAGUCUCGCUUGGUACUCCCUGGCCAUAAGAUGGAGGACGCUGUGAUUGGGGCUCUGAACAGGAAACGUUCUCGACCUCAAAACACGAAGAGGGACCAGAACAAGGACGCCCCUAGGGCAAAGCGGACCAACAUCGUGCAGCAAGUCUCUCCCUUGAAGACUUUACCUCCUGCUCCUGCCAAAGUCAGCGAAACUAGUGGAGCAGCCACAGAUCCUGCUUCCUCUUCUCCUCCUGUCGGGCCUCGAUCUCGCUUUCCUGACAGCCGAGCAGAACACUUGGUCCCCUAUCUCAAUGAGUUAUCUAAACUCGUGAGCAAGAAGGACCUGGAGGACUUUAAUGGCUGCACCCUGGGCGAGCUGGUAGGAGCCAUGCAGUAUAGUGCUUUCCAUCUCAGCUGCAUGACCACCUAUUAUAAGGCUAAGGUUGGCCGUUAUGACAGGAAGAUGAAGGAGGACAUUCAAUCAGCGAUGACCAGAGCUGACGCCGCCGAGAAGAAAGCAGGAGAGCUAAAUGUCGAGAACCUGAAGCUGAUAGAGCAAGAAUCUCUUGCUCAAGCAAAAGCCAUUACCCUCGAGGAGGAGCUGACCAAGGUCAAGGAGGAUCUUCAAAGGCAGAAGGCAAUGUAUGAGGCUCAGCUCGAAUCUCUCCGCGAUUCCCAUCGAGCUCAGGUCGAGAACUUGGAGAAGGAGGCCGACAACCAGUACGACCAGGGACUUCGGCAUUCCUAUCGUUGCAUCAUGGCCGUCCUCGGGAAGCAGCAUCCUGAUCUAAAGAUGGACGACCUUGCAGCUGGUGUCGCCCAACAUAUGGACGAGGAGGCUGCAAAGGAGGAUGCCGAAGGGGUAGACGCAAUCGUGAUUGAGGAGGAAAACUCUCCUCCUCAUGUAGACCCUGCUGACGUUGGCGAGGCGAGCACCCCCCCGGACGCAACUGGUGAUACCCCCCCUGCACCUGAGGAGGUCCAGCCAACCGAUGCUGCUCGGCAUACUGAUCCGCCAUCUUCUUGAACUUAUCUUGUGCUGUAAUUGCUUUUUGAAUAUUCUAUAUAACAGCUUUGUAAACUUUUAAGAGCUUAAUAAGAUUGUUCUUAUUUGCUUCCUCGCAUUGGUAUUUUAAUUUAUUUAUCUAUUUGGCUUCUGUCCUCGUCACAGAGGAGGCCUUGAAGUUUGACGAGCCUUUGCCUGUCUUGGAUAAUUUCUUCAAUGAUUGGGAUUCUGCUCGCCUUCGCGUGGUCGAGCAGAUCCUGGCACGCUUGGCUUUUGGUCUCGCCAUAAACAGGCUUUGAGACUCGACGAGCCUUUGCAUGCCUUAGUUUCUUCAAGGAUUGGGAUUCUGCUCGCCUUCGUGUGGUCGAGCAGAUCCUGGCACGCUUGGCUUCUGGUCUCGCCAUAAACAGGCUUUGAGACUUGACGAGCCUUUGCAUGCCUUAGUUUCUUCAAGGAUUGGGAUUCUGCUCGCCUUCGCGUGGUCGAACAGAUCCUGGCACGCUUGGCUUCUGGUCUCGCCAUAAACAGGCUUUGAGACUCGACGAGCCUUUGCAUGCCUUAGUUUCUUCAAGGAUUGGGAUUCUGCUCGCCUUCGCGUGGUCGAGCAGAUCCUGGCACGCUUGGCUUCUGGUCUCGCCAUAAACAGGCUUUGAGACUUGACGAGCCUUUGCAUGCCUUAGUUUCUUCAAGGAUUGGGAUUCUGCUCGCCUUCGCGUGGUCGAGCAGAUCCUGGCACGCUUGGCUUCUGGUCUCGCCAUAAACAGGCUUUGAGACUUGACGAGCGUUUACAUGCCUUCAAUUCUUCAAGGAUUGGGAUUCUGCUCGCCUUCGCAUGGUCGAGCAGAUCUUGGCACGCUUGGCUUCUGGUCUCGCCAUAAACAGGCUUUGAGACUUGACGAGCCUUUGCAUGCCUUCAAUUCUUCAAGGAUUGGGAUUCUGCUCACCUUCGCGUGGUCGAGCAGAUCCUGGCACGCUUGGCUUCUGGUCUCGCCAUAAACAGGCUUUGAGACUUGACGAGCCUUUGCAUGCCUUCAAUUCUUCAAGGAUUGGGAUUCUGCUCGCCUUCGCGUGGUCGAGCAGAUCCUGGCACGCUUGGCUUCUGGUCCCGCCAUAAACAAGCUUUGAGACUUGGUGAGCCUUUGCAUGCCUUUGAUAAUUUCUGGAAAGCUUAGGAUUCUGCUCACCUUCUCGUGGUCGAGCAGAUCCUGGCACGCUUGGCUUCUGGUCUCGCCAUAAACAGGCUUUGAGACUUGGUAAGCCUUUGCAUGCCUUUGAUAAUUUCUUGAACAGUGUAGUUGAUUCAAACUCCUCAUUGAUUCAUUUAUUAUUGAAUUCGGCUUACAUGAGGUUGCUUUGAAAUAAGAAAUAAAAAAAUAGAAAACAACAGACAUGAACAGAAAAAAAACUUUAAAACAUGAGUAAGUCUUACUAGAAAUAUUUCCUGAGGUGUGCCGCGCUCUAGGGGCGUUUCACCUCGUGGCCCUCCGUGCGAACCAACUUGUAAACUCUGGGUCCAACUAGCUGCCAUUCCUGGCUUCCACUCGGGUAUCAAAGGAUGUUAUCUGCAUUGCUUCCUUUGUUGCCGAGGAGUAACAGCUUCGUGCGAUUCUCUGGUCUCCUCGUACCACUCCAACUACCCCAUUCACCCGGUACUUGAGAGCCAGAUAAUGGUUGGACAGCACCGCUUUGCUCAUCCUCAGAAAUGGCCGGCCUAGGAUCAUCUGAUAAGGACCUUCCUCAUCCACUACCACAAAGUCCAGUAUCAUUGUCCUUUCUGUCGGGGAGCUCCCAAUCGUGAUAAGUAGCUCGACCACGCCCAGAGGGACCAACUUUCCUCCUCCAAACCCCUUCAAGGAGGUAUUGGUGUAAUCCAACUUCAGGUCUGCUAUUCCCAUUUCCUCCAGGGUUGACUUAAACAACACAUCAACUGAGCUCCCUGUGUCAACCAGUAUCCUGUCAAACUUCUUGCUGGCAACAGUGGCCUUGAUGACCAAAGCAUCCUCGUGGGGGUAUAGAAUCCCUUCUUCAUCCUCAUCUGUCCACAUGAUUGGCACUUGCCUGACUCUUGCACAUUUGGCUGCUGGGGUGUUGAAGAAUACAUCUUUGCUGGUCAUGGCGUAUCUAGCGUAAUUCUUCCUCGACCUGUUGGAAUCUCCGGCCAAUGUUGGGCCCCCAGCUAUCACCCUUAGUGCAGGAUGCUCGCGCCUCAGGUUUCUAUCACUCUGCUCCCCUUCAUAUGUCGAGGCCACCAUCGGGAAAGUCCCAUCUACAAACUCGUCCAGGUACCGAUUUCUCACCAAAUCUUCAACCUGGGUCUUGAGAUCUCUGCAUUCUGCGGUGGUAUGGCCAUGAGUGCCAUGGAACUUACAAUGGCGUCCCCUAUCCCUCCUGCCGGGUAGCUUUGUUAUUGGGGCAGGGAGGUACAGCAGUCCUCGGUCCUUUAUGGCCUCGUAUACUUCAUCUAGGGACAUCUUCAAGGACGUGUAUCGCCCAUACUCCUGGUUCUGGUCGAUCAGGUGCACGGCCCUUUCUCUAUUUGCUCCGUUCUGAGUUGGAGGCGAUGACAGCAUUUCUGGUCUGCUCCCUCUACUACCGUGGGAGUGUUGAUGAAGACCACCAUAUGUCGAAUCAUGCCUUCUCCAAGGCUCCCUAGCUGGGGAACGAGGAGGGUGCGCCCUGCUGCGCUGAUACUGUGGUGGCCUCUGAUGAGGCUGGUGAGCUGUUACCCGACCUCCUGCUCCACUACCUGAGGCCUGGAGGUCCCUCCUCCUGAUCGGCCAAUUUCCCAGUAAUGCCCUCUUUUCUUUCUUUUCCAACCCCUCCAGCUGGUCUGUCUUAAUCCGAGCUGCCUUUUCUUCCUCGAUCUCUAUGUCUCUUUUAGCUUGCUCGUAUGCGGCUGCAUACGUCUGAAUAGCUGGGCUUCUCAAGUUGUACCACAGCCUUCCUAUCUUCACUCCCUCUUUCAAUCCCCUUAGUGCCUGAGGAUGGUCGAAGGCUCCCAAAUCGAGGACAGCACGAUGAAACCUCUUGAUGAAUUCCCGAAGAGUUUCUUGUUCCCCUUGCUUCAUGCUUUUCAACUCCAUCAUGUCAUCUUCUAGUGCCAUUGCCCCACGAAACUGCUCUGCAAACUCCUGGCACAUCUGCUCGAAGGUUUUAAUGCUCCUCCCCCGAGGAAGUUUUCUGUACCACUCUCGUGCACGUCCCUCAAGGGAUAGUGGGAACACCCUGCCUGCACCUUUGGGAUUGAGAUAAUCCUUGUACCCCAAUUAUGUCGUUGAAGCGCUCUAUGUGCACCAGCGGAUCUGUUCGUCCCGAAUAUCUAAGGUCUGGGAGGCGGAAAUCUCUCGGAAUAACUGCCCUCAUGAUCUCUGCUGCGAGCGGUGAUUCUCCAUCUAGCAUUAUCCUCCAACCAGGAGCUCUGCUCCUUCCUUGCAUGUCGUCAAUUAUCUGCGCUAGUCUGCGCACUUCCUCCUCCAGCUGCACUGCACGACCAGGGUCACGUGCUGCAACUUGAUCCCGCUCUUGCUCUACAUCAAGCAAGUGUUGCCUCAACUCUGUUUCCUCUGCAUUUGCCACCCCGUCGUCCUCGUCAAAAAUCUGUCUUGCCGGGAAUUGCUCUUCCUCUCUACGGAAUUCUCCCCGCAGAGGUAUGUUACCUCUCUCACCACCAAAUCUCCCGGUGGUUUGACUUCUCCUCGUACUAUCGGGACCUAGUGCCACUCCACCAACUCUCAUCCUUUCCUCCUGGGUUACCCUUCGUUCACUCCGCAACUCAUGCAGGAUGGUUGUCAGGGUCUCCAUCUGCUUUUCCAUUCGUUCCAUUCGGUCGAACAUGGCUUUUUCCCGUGCUUCACUGGCUAUCUCCCUCAGAGUCACGGAAUCGUUAAGCCUCAUAUCACCCCCUUGUGCACUACUUCCUCCUGUCUCCAUUGCUUUUCACUUGCUUCACUCCUCUUCUUGCUAUCAACAGAAGCUUUUUGAUCAGCUCCCCACAGACGGCGCCAAAAUAUUGAUGCGAGAUUCUGGUUGUCCUCGUUCUACGACCAGGGUCUCUGCUCGAUCAACUUCACCACGACCAGGAUCUCUCCUCGUAAAGCUUCUUCUCCAGAGGUUCCUGCGCACACAGACAGGUCAGAGUACGCCGGUUGUUUUCCCGGCGCAAACCCUCCGACGCUCAAGUCAGAAAUAGGGGUUCUGGGAAUGUUUGCCACUAAUCUUAUGGCUUCUUUUUAAUCUCAGUUCUCGGAACUUUCUUUUCUUAGUUCUAAUAGCAAAAAGUCUAACCCUUUUACCUUCGCUGGCUACCUUUUUAUAGGCUUCCUUUGAAUCCCGGUCUUCCGUAGUCCACGCCCAUUAGUCUUCCCACCCUCGGAUGUGGAUGCCCCAUUGUCGUCAUUGUGGGCGAAUGGAGAUGGACUUCGUGCCUUGAUUCUCGGAUAGGAACGCACGUCUUGCCAACUGUCGUUGACCGGGUCUCCUCGCCUCGACCCCUAGCAGGAAUGGCCUUAUGCCUCUAACAGGAGUUCGUCCUCGUGAAUGGCAUAUUUGUGGACGAGCAGAAUAUUCCUGCUCCUGUUCCCUUGCUACCAGGCUCUUACAGGACAUACCUGUUCGCAGAACUCUGCCACCAAAUAUAUGCUCAUCAUGUCUGGUCUCGUCGAAGUAUUUCCCUCAAACAACACAUAGCAAACAUGACAUUAACUACUUGCAGCAGCAUCAUCCAGAAACUUCACUAUAAUCUUCUUGAGCUUUUCAGCGGCAUCUUUCGUAGAUGCCCUUUGUUUUGGUGACUCCAUGCAAAAAUCCAAUGCCGAAUGCAUGAUGCUUAAUAAACAAUUCAUUUUAUUAGUACAUUGGAUAUAAUCGAAGGCAGAGUAUAUUUCAGGACAAGUAGAGUAGCAUUCUUGGAUCCUUUGCUAUUAUCUUCUUUGCAAGGUGGGACUUGAGGUCCUGGUGGACAACAUACUGCAUAAUUCUAAAAAAAUUAUUGAGCUGAAAUGUUUUUAAAAGGUCUUUUGAUAGAAACUCCCCCUUCUAGCCUAUUGUGAGACACAUUAAGUUGUUUGAGAUAUAAGAGUGCCUCUAUUGACUUUGGAAUUUCUCCAGAGAAAUUGUUGCUUGGGAGAUCCAAAGAUUCCAACCUUAUCAAACUACCAAAUGAUUUGGGGAUUAGACCAUAAAAUUGGUUUCUAGCCAAGCUAGAUCUUUGGGGCCACCAAUAUUUACUGGCAUAUCACCUGAUAAUUGAUUUCUUGAUAAAUCUAACUCUAUUAAGACCCUUAAGUUUUGUAUAUCACUUGAUAAUUGUUUGUAUUGGGCCUUCUAUUUUCAUUAUAGAAUAAAUUAACUAUUAAUUUUCAUGAGAAAAAUACUUAUUUCCAUAAAAUUAUUCAAGCUUUUAAAAAGAUUUAGAAUUAAAAAUCAAACUUUGUACUGUAGAAAAUUUGCCGGUACGUUCAAUUAGUACUUUGUUUGAGGAAAUAAGAUUAGAAUAGGCUAUAGGUACGGUAGUUAUGCGGUACCUGUUUAAUAACCGUAGUAUAGUAAAUGUUUGACUUUUUUAUUAGAAAUAUAUCAUUAACAAUUUUGUUCGCUAAUUGAAUAGAGAAAGAAAGGGGGGGUGGGGGGGGGGGGAGGGCAAAAAGGUUAACACAUUUCGAAACUACAAACGAUUGCCUUUUCCUAUUAAUAAUGUUUGCGGAUUCUAACAAUUGAAUCUCAAGGUCAUUACAUAGUGAAUUUUAUAGUUAAUAAAAUUAAUAUUCCACAUACUAUCUACUCAAUUAAUGUCACAUUUUUUGAAACUUGAAUGAUCUAUUUGCUACAAUUAGGAGCCAACGUCGUAAUGAAUGUUAAAUUAUGCUGUUUGUUUUGAUUUACUUUUCUAUCUUAGCUCCAAGUGAUUAGCGGAAUGCUGGUCUUGUGAGUAUAAAAUGAACUCCUUAAGUCAAAUUCCUUCUGGGGUGUUGGAGAAAGAACUAAAUACAUGUAAUCUUGCUUUCGGAUAUGGAUUAUCUGAUGGAUGUUGUAUUUUCUAGGUAUUGAGGAGAUUCCUCAUUAUUGAAAAAUUACGUUCCCGAGCAUCAAAAGAUGAUCCCAUAGAAUUGCGUUCUCCUGUGACAAAAGAGGAGCUUGUAGCUGAGGUAUCGAUUUUUAUCUUUCUUGAUUGUUCUUUAUAGUUGUUUCUCAUCAAAAUAGAAAAAGCAGUUUGUUCUGAGUGACCUGUGCGGUCUACUAUCAAUCACUGCCAUUUCUAUCAUUUAGUACUAUUGACUGUGUGUAUAGAUAUUUUGUUUUUGCCAUGUAAUUUCAUGUUUGAUACAUUUCUAAUACAUUGCAUAGCGUUCAUGAACGAGAAUGAUAAACUAACUUUCAGGUGUGUUUAAGUAGAUGAAAAAACUUGGUACAAUUUAGAAGGAUUCACUAAUUUUCCAAUUUGUUUGUAUGGAGAAAUUGAAUAGUUAAUUGAUUAGAGGAUUGCAAAGUGGGUAGGUCCAGCUGGGCAUUGUCAAUAUUAACGAUCGAUGUUUUGAGAAGGUCUGGAGCUGACAUCACGGUUGCGUCUGUGGAGAAACAACUUCGUGUCGACGCGUGUCACGGUGUCAAGAUUGUCGCUGAUGCUCUCGUGUCUGACUGCCGCGACGCCGUUUUUGAUCUUAUAGCUCUUCCCGUAUGUAUUGCAGCUCACCUCAGCUCAUGCCAAUUUAUGUGAUGUUUGUAUAAUUAUAGAUGAUUAUUGCUGAUACUGAAUGUUAAGCUAAAUAAUUCGUUCUUAAGUCAUCUUCAUUUAAUUUUCGAUUGAAAAUGAAAAAAAUAAUAAUUGUAAGCAAAGAAAAAUAUCGAAAAUGUUUAUUUUGUUUUAAUUUUAUUUUUUAAUUUUUUGGGAUUUCCUUAUUGUGGCUGUUAUUAUUCAUUAUAUGGUCCUAGUUAAAUAUUUCAAGUUGUUGUAGUUAGUGAAUUUCUUUUCGAUAUUUAUUCUGGCAUGUAUAUUUUUUCUUUUCAAUUUCUUUUGUUGCUGAUUCUUUGAUUAUGUUAUAUCCUUUUUUGUUUCCCUUGUAGGGUGGCGUGCCUGGUGCUACCAAUCUGAAAGAAUCUGAAGUAUUAGAAAGCAUUGUGAAGAAGCAGGCUUCAGAUGGGCGUCUUAAUGCUGUUAUCUGUGCUUCACCUGCUGAGGCAUUAGGGUCUAGGGGUCUGUUGAAGGGAUUGAAGGUAAGAAUUAGAUAAACCUUUUUGAUGUUCUGUGGUCUUUUGGGAAUUGCACUGAUAUUUUUGUUAUAGUUCAGUUUUCUUCUCGCUGAUGAUUGUUAAGUUCUAAUUUAUGUAGUUGUUCAUUUUUCGUAGGCUACUUGUUAUCCGUCAUUUAUGGAGCAAUUAGCUCCUGCUUGUGCAACAACUGUUGAAUCAAGAGUACCACAGGAUGGUAAAGUUGUUACGAGUCGUGGACCCUGCACUACUAUGGAGUUUGCUGUUGCACUUGUUGAGCAGUUGUAUGGGAAAGAGAGAGCUGAUGAGGUUUCUGGGCCACUGGUAGUAACUUUUAUAGAUAAUGUUGUUUAAAAAAAUUGUGAGUUAUAUAAUUUGUUGAAAUUCAUUCUAAUAGGUUCAUCUGGUAUGUCAAAUUGGAAGGUUCAGAUGCUAAUGUAGUCCAAAAAAUUAGUUCAGGGGAAAAGUAUGACUUUUUGCAUUAGAGAUUUAUUAGAUGAAGUUGUAUACCUACUGGCCCAUCUUAAUAUGGUGAAAACGAUGUAAAAUCGGGAGAGGGGGUUCGGGGGAGAGGGGAAGCCCUCUCCAACCGCAAGGCCGUUAUUCUGACAUGAAUAGAGUAAGGCCUUUACUUUUAUAAAGAAAGGUCCCUGUUUUGCACGUCUCCACUGAUCACAUUCUUUUUAAUGUAAGUUCUUUCUCUUGGUAUUUGUCUUUGAUUUUUCUCUUCCUCAUGCUGUCGUCUGUCAAAAGAUUUGGCUGCAGCAUCUAGAAGUUUUGAAGAAGCAAAAUGGGUCACACGGCUUUGAAGUUCUAGAUGCCGUAAUGUUUGGUAAAAGUAAAAAAAAAUUCAAAGCUCAAAAAUUCAAAGUUCGAAAAACUGAAAUUUUUGAGCUGUAUGGCUUGUAAUUUUAUAGCCACUUUUUUGACUUUUAAGGAAAAGUUUUACCUAUAAAUACAAGCUCUCAAUUUAGAGCUUGCAUCCAAUUUUGUAAAGAGAGUCGAGAGCUGUGAAAAGCAAUUCUUGCAGAGCAGAGAGUUUGUAGAGCUUAAAUAAUAAAAGCUGUUGUUUUAAUGAUUUGAGAGUUUGGAUGUAUUGGGGUUUUGGGAAGUGAGCUAAAAUACUACAAUACUUGUAACUCCUUUUCACUAGUAAAAUAUUUUUCUUCUAUCUUCACCCAUGGACGUAGGUUAAAAGCCGAACCACGUAAUUUCCUGGUGUCCUCUUUGUGCUUCUUCUUGAUUUUUUUUUCCCAAUUUUACUUUAGUUGCGGCCCUGCUUCACCCGCCAAUUUCCUAACAGCGGUAUCAGAGCUAUUAGUUGUAUUAUUUGGAGUCGGGUACUAUUCACAUACGGUACUGUUCACAUAUACGGUACUAUUCAUGUAUACGUUACUAUUCACGUGAAACGGUGGGAGCAAUUCUAGUAUUGGCGAUGCAAAGCAGGGGAAUAGUGUGUGUGAGUGGAGUAAUUGUGUGGUUUUGGACAUGUGUAAGAAAGUUCUGUCACAAAGGCGAUAAGAGCCUAAGGAGUUAGGAUUUUAAGUGGGACUAUUGUGACCCCUCCAGUCUUUCCUGGGAACUUUCUUGGUGUGCUCUCACACAUACUCACAACUAUUCAAGCUGGUACACUAGUUUUGUACAAUAUUUAUCAACAAAAUGGUGGCAAAGUAUGAAAUUGAGAAGUUUAACGGAAAUAAUUUUUCGUUGUGGAAAAUGAAGAUGAAAGUUGUAUUGAAGAAAAAUAAUUGAUUGGCAGCAAUUAGAGAAAGGCCCAUGGAGAUAACUGAUGACAAGUGGAACAAGAUAUAUGGCAACGCCAUUUUUGAUCUACACUUGGCACUUACGGAUGAAGUAUUAUUCAGUGUGGCAGAGAAAACUACAGCGAAGGAAAUAUGGGAUACUCUCACAAAAUUGUACGAGACCAGGUCACUACACAACAAAAUCUUCUUAAAGAGGAAGCUCUAUACUCUUCGAAUGACGGAAUCUACAAUGGUGACCGACCACAUCAAUACCUUGAAGACUCUAUUUUCACAACUCACAACGUUAGGUCAUAAUAUAGAGGAAAAUGAACAUGCAGAGCUUCUACUUCAAAGUCUACCAGAUUCGUAUAAUCAACUCAUCAUCAACCUGACGAAUAAUAAUCCAGCGGACAGUUUGGUUUUCGACGAUGUUGCAGCCUCCGUAUUAAAUGAGGAGAGCAGGCGGAAAAAUAAGAAAAAUAGACAAGCAAGUUUGCAGCAAGCGGAGGCGUUAUCGGCGACGAGAGGGAGAUCAACGGAACGUGGCUGGCCCCAGUGGGAGUCACAAUCGUGGUAGAUCAAAAUCCAGAAGUAAGAAGAAUGUUAAAUGCUACAAUUGUGGUAAGAAAGGGCACGUCAAGAAAGAGUGUUAGAGUAACCAGAAGAGAAAAGAUGGCAAAAAACCUGAGUCAUCAAAUGCUCAGGGGUGUGUAGCAAGUACCUCGGAUGAUGACGAAAUUCUCUACAGCGAGGCAACAACUGUUUCAGAAGGUAGAAAAUGACUAUAUGAUGUCUGGCUUAUAGACUCAGGAGCUACCUGACACAUGACCUAUCGUAGAGAAUGGUUCCACACAUAUGAACAUAUCUCAGGAGAAUAUGCAUAUAUAGGUAAUGAUCAUGCCUUGGAGAUCGUUAGUAUUGGUACUAUCAAAAUAAAAAUAUUUGAUGGUACAAUUCGCACAAUUGAGGAGGUACAACAUAUCAGCGGCCUGAAGAAAAAUCUAUUGUCUUUGGGACAAAUGGAUAGUCAUAGGUACAAAACUCAUGUGGAGAAUGGAAUUAUGUAGAUCGUUAAAGGCGCGCUUGUAUUGAUGAAGGCAGAAAAGAUCAGUGCUAAUUUAUUCAUGCUUAAAGGAGAAACACUACAGGAGGCUGAUGUAUGUGUCGCGUCAAAUGGAGAAGAGUCAACGAUGAUGUGGCAUCUCAAACUUGGCCACAUGUCAGAACAAGGCUAGAAGAUUCUCUCUGAGUGAAAAUUGCUUCCAGGGUUCAAAUCGGUAAGUUUACCAUUUUGCGAGCAUUGUGUUAUAAGUAAGCAACAUAGAUUAAAGUUCAGUAGAUCUAUUACUAGAAGUAAAUGCAUUCUAGAAUUGAUUCAUUCUGAUGUUUAGGAAUCGCCGGAUAUGUCCAUGGGAGGUGCAAAGUACAUGGUGACUUUCAUUGAUGAUUAUUGCAGGAGAUGUUGGGUGUAUUCAAUUAAGAAAAAGUCAGAUGUAUUUCCAGUGUUUAAAGAAUACAAAGCGCGGGUGGAACUUGAAUUUGGUAAAAGGAUCGAGUGCUUGGGGACAAAUAAUGGUGGAGAGUAUACAGACGGCGAGUUUCUUGCUUUCUGUAAGCAAAAAGGUAUUUAGAGGUAGUUAAUGGUAGCAUACACUCCUCAACAAAACGGAGUGGCGAAGCGAAUGAACAUAACUCUUACAAAAAGAAUAAUAGCUAUGUUGAGGACUGCUGGUCUACCCAAUUCAUUCUGGGCAGAAGCAGCCAAAACUGCCUGUUAUAUCGUAAAUCGAUUGCCAUCUACAACAAUUGGGCUGAAGACAGCGAUGGAGAUAUGGACUGGAAAGCUAGCUGAUUACUCAUACCUACAUGCAUUUGGAUGUCCUGUGUACGUGAUGUACAAUGCCCAAGAAAGAAUAAAGCUUGAUCUAAAAUCUAGAAGAUGUAUCUUCUUGGGAUAUACUGAUGGAGUAAAGGGGUAUCGUCUGUAGGACCCCACUGCCCACAAGAUCGUCAUCAGCAGAGAUGUUAUUUUUUGUAGAAGAUCAACUACAAAGGAAAGAUAGAGAUGAUGACACUGUAAAAGAAAAGUCAGAGACUGUGCCAGUAUAUGUGGAAAAUAAUCCAGAAGAUUCAGAUUCUUCUGAAGCAACACCAGAGCAUGAAGAAUAAGAAUCAGUCGAGUUCGAGGCUCCAGAAGUUCGUCGGUUAACUCGUGAAAGACGACCGCCAACGUGACACUCGGAGUAUGUCACAGAGAUCAACGUUGCAUACUGUUUUCUAACAGAGGAUGGAGAGCCUUCAACUUUCCAUAAAUCUUUAAACAGCUCAGAUGUUACUUUAUGGAUGACAACAAUGCAGGAAGCAAUUGAGGCUCUACAUAAGAACAAGACAUUGGAGCUUGUACCACUACUACGUGGAAGAAAAGAUAUUGGAAACAAAUAGAUCUACAAGAUCAAAUGUGAUGGUAAUGACCAAGUGGAACGGUAUCAUGCAAGAUUGGUGGUGAAAUGAUAUGCUCAGAAAGAAGGUAUUGACUUCAACGGAAUAUUUUCUCUGGUGGUUUGACUCACAACAGUCAGAAUAGUCUUGGUAAUGUGUGCUACAUUUGACUUACAUCUUGAGCAGUUAGAUGUGAAAAUUGCAUUUCUUCAUGGAGAACUUGAAGAAGAAAUUUAUAUGCUCCAACCAGAAGGUUUUGCUGAAAAGGGAAAGGAGAACUUGGUUUGCAGGUUGAACAAAUCUUUAUACGGUCUCAAACAGGCACCGAUGUGUUGGUAUAAGAGAUUUGAUUCCUUCAUCAUAAGCCUCAGAUACAAUAGACUCAGCUCAGACCAAUGUGCAUAUUAUAAAAGGUUUGAAGAUAAUGAUUUCAUUAUUUUGAUAUUGUAUGUGGAUGACAUGUUGGUAGCAGGCCCCAACAAAGAUCGAGUCCAAGAAUUGAAGGUAUAAUUGAUUAGGGAGUUUGAAAUAAAGGACUUGGGACUAGAAAAUAAGAUUCUAGGGAUGCAAAUUCACCGAGACAGAAAUAACAGGAAGAUUUGGCUUUCUCAGAAGAACUACUUGAAGAAAAUUUUGCGACGCUUCAACAUGCAAGAUUGUAAGUCAAUUUCUACCCCACUUCCUGUUAAUUUCAAAUUAUCCUUAAGUAUGUGUCUGAGCAAUGAAGCAGAGAAGGAGGAGAUGUCUCGAGUACCGCAUGCAUCAGCAGUGGGAAGUUUGAUGUUCGCUAUGAUAUGUACUGGAUCGGACAUUGCACAAGCAGUGGGAGCAGUCAGUCGGUACAUGGCAAAUCCUAGUGGAGAGUAUUGGAUAACUGUGAAGAAGAUUCUGAGAUACAUCAGAGGAACCUCAGAUGUUGCAUUAUGUUAUGGAGGAUCAGAGUUUACUGUCAGGGGUUAUGUGGAUUCAGAUUUUGUAGGAGACUUUGAUAAAAGAAAAUCCACUAUUGGCUAUAUGUUUACACUUGCAGGAGAAGCUGUAAGCUGAGUUUUGAAACUGCAGACCGUUGUGGUUUUAUCUACAACAGAAGCAGAAUACAUGGCAGCUACACAAGCUUGGAAGGAAGCUAUCUGGAUACAAAGGUUAUUGGAGGAGUUCGGGCACAAACAAGAGAAAAUUUUUGUGUAUUGUGACAGUCAGAGUGCCUUGCAUAUUGUAAGAAAUCCAGCAUUUCAUUCAAGGACAAAGCAUGUAGGAGUUCAGUAUCACUUCGUUCAAGAAGUAGUGGAAGACGGAAGUGUGGAUUUACAGAAAAUCCAUACGAAGGAGAACCUAGCAGAUGUUUUGACCAAGCCGAUAAAUACUGAUAAGUUUGUCUGGAGUAGAUUCUCUUGUGGCCUAGCAGAAACGUAGGCAACAUGACAGUGGCGAAGCAGAAACGAUGGUGUGGAGAUUGAUUGAUCCUCAAUCAAAUCUCCAAGUGGGAGAAUGUCAAAAGAUUUGGCUGCAACAUCUAGAAGCUGCAUCUAGAAGUUUUGAAGAAGCAAAAUGGGUGGCACAUGACUUUGAAGUUCUAGAUGCUGUAAUGUUUAGUAAAAGAAAAAGAAAAAAAUUCAAAGCUAAAAAAUUCAAAGUUUGAAAAUCUAAAAUUUUUGACCUGUAUGGCUUGAAAUUUUAUAGCCACGUUUUUUACUUUUGAGGCAAAGUUUUGCCUAUAAAUACAAGCUCUCAAUUUAGAGCUUGCAUCCAAUUUUGUAAAGAAAGUCGAGAGCUGUUAGAAGCAAUUCUUGCAGAGCAGAGAGUUUGUAGAGCUUAAAUAAUAAAAGCUCUUGUUUUAGUGAUUUGAGAGUUUAGGUGUAUUAGGGUUUUGGGAAGUGAGCUAAAAUACUACAAUACUUGUAACUCUUUUUCACUAGUAAAAUAUUUUCCUUCUGUCUUCGCCCGUAGAAGUAGGCUAAAAGCCGAACCACGUAAUUUCCUGGUGUCCUCUUUGUGCUUGUUCUUUAUUUUUUUUCAAUUUUAUUUUAGCUGCGGCCCUGCUUCACCCACCAAUUUUCUAACAUCGUCUUCACUGUCACCCUGUGCCUAGGUAAUGC
Molecule: long non-coding RNA, 64710 nt
Filed under: Citrus maxima (pomelo)
Lineage: Eukaryota; Viridiplantae; Streptophyta; Magnoliopsida; Sapindales; Rutaceae
Description: long non-coding RNA (CMAX_LNC003046)
Source: RNAcentral